GCACGUGUUUGAGGAGAUGCAGAGGCCUGGUACCCCGCUCUACAACAUCAAGGCUUACCUCCCUGUCAUCGAGUCCUUUGGGUUCUCCAGCCAACUGAGGGCUGCAACCUCUGGCCAGGCGUUCCCUCAGUGUGUGUUUGACCACUGGGACAUGAUGGGCUCUGAUCCUCUGGAGGCCGGCUCCCAGGCUGCUCAGCUGGUGUUGGAUAUCCGCAAGAGGAAGGGUCUCAAGGAGCAGAUGACCCCUCUUUCUGAGUUUGAGGACAAGCUCUAAAUUUUGGUGGUUUGUGCUGCUGUUACCCAUGCUGGUUUCAUGGCCAAUUCGUCUACUGUAACUGGAACUACUUUCAUGUUUCAUUUCCUUUAGUUGUCAGAUGCAUCUGUUUUUGAACAUCAUUGGCCAUAUGGCAUUGUGCUGCUAAGACUGUAUUUUGUUAUCCGGUUGUGAUGUAACAGAUGAAAUAGAGUUCAUAUCUGUGGUUUAAGUGGUAGUAUUUGCGGUAUAAUGCUUGUUUCUACUGCCUUCUGAAAGCCUUUCUUUUGCCUAACGGUAGAGCGGAUUAACUAAGGGUGUUGUAUCAUUUGAUUCAUUUGAUCCUUCAUCAAGGAUGAAGCCAUCUCCUCAUGGGAACACAUUAUUCUACUAUUAGAAGCGAAGAUGUAACAAAUUAGUUGAAAGAGGAGCGUUGAAAGAGGAGCGAACCAUACUUUACUAUAUGGUAAGUAGCAAAUUAGUUACAAGUAGCAAAUUAGUUGAACUUUAGGAUCAUGCACGUUGAACCUUGUUAUCUAGGAUCAUCCAUGGAUCAUGCACGUUGAACCUUGCUAACUAGGAUCAUGCACGUUGACCCUUGUUAUCUAGGAUCAUCCAUGGAUCAUACACGUUGAACUUUGCUAUCUAGGAUUAUCCAUGUAUGCAUCAUGUAGUGCAUCUGUGCAUGCAAUAUUCUGUUAUCUAGGAUCAUCCAUGGAUCAUACACGUUGAACUUUGCUAUCUAGGAUUAUCCAUGUAUACAUCAUGUAGUGCAUCUGUGCAUGCAAUAUUCUGCCCUUAGCUUGGUUUUACUGCCGAUAGCUAUAUAGUGCAUUUAAAUGCUUUUCUUUUGCCCACAGCCCCAGAGGUAGAGAGGACUAACUGUUUCUGUUGCUUUUUUUUUUUACGGUCUACGGGAGAGAGUGUGUGUGUGUGUUGGGGGUGGGAGCGCCCCCACCUGAUUUUCAUUUCAUUGAGGGUCUGUUUCAGGCCAAACGCUGUGUAGAUCAAAAGGAGAUAGAGAGAGGCAGUGUACAUCUGGUUUUGUGAUUGUUUUACAUCGAAGCAAAGACAGUGCACCAGGAGUCGGUUAUCACGCGAUCCUCUAUGCGAAACCGCUCGCGCCAAAGUCGGGCUUCGUCUCGGCAUGCCGACCAGAAGCGUUGUUGAGAUGGAGCGCAGCGCUGGAACACUGGGUCAUUCCGGUGCUUCCAUAACACCCACGGCAGAAGGAGUUUUUUCUUGCUUUGCCUUUAGCUUGGCUUUAAUCCUGUUAGCUAUGCCUAUGUAGAGCAUUUGGUCCUUCGAAUUUUAAAUCGAUGUUGAUUUUGAUUGCAUGCCGUCAUUUUGGGUUGGUUCCAACUAUGUUUUUAAUAUCAGUCGUUCUGAAGGUUACUCUGUUGACACUUGAUUGCAUAACCGUUUGCUAGUUUUGCGUGCAUCCGCGUGCUGGUUCGUCUCAUCAAGAACUAGCCGUUGCUCAAAACUCUGGCUUUCAGGCAUGGCCGCAACAGCCUGGAGGAUGUGUUGCUGUUCUGUAGCUGUAGUGUGCGUCUGUGCUAGUGGAUGCAGGGAGCCAGCGACCUAAAAGGAAUCGUGUAUUAGUGGAUGCAGGACAUCGGCCGUGGCGGCCUGGGGGAGACGACCACGCUCGACAUGAACGGCAGUAAGUUCAAUGGCACGAUCCCGGCGUCGCUUACCGGCCUAUGGAGCCUCCAGUAUCUAGAUGUGAGCGGCAACCGCUUCACCGGCACCAUCCCAGCGUUGCUAUCUGGACUCCGGAACCUCCAGCUUCUCGGCCUGAAUGACAACCUCUUCACCGGCACCAUCCCGGCGGACCUCGGCGAGCUGGCGAGCCUUCACAUGCUGUAUCUGGCAAACAACCAGUUCGAUGCAGGCCAGCUGCCGUCGUCGUUCAAGAACCUGACCAACCUGGUCAGCCUCUGGGCGUCGCAGUGCAACCUCGUCGGAGAGUUCCCGAACUUUCUUUGGAGCCUGAAGGAGCUGCAACUAUUGAAUCUGUACACGAACAACCUCACCGGCAACUUGGUGGUUGAUGGCCUUGUUGCGAGGAACUUGACAGUAAUCGACGUCUCGGAGAACAAGAUCACUGGAGUUAUCCCGAGUGUUUGGGAGCUUGGAGAACCUCAGAGACUUGAACUUCUUCAUGAACAACUUCUCCAGCGAGAUACCAGCCAGCAUCGGCCGGUUGCCCUCACUGACGAGGUUGAGGCUCCACACCAACAUGCUUAACGGCACGCUCCCACCGGAGCUCGGAAAGCAAUCGCCGGGCUUGAAUUAUGUUGAGGUUGAUUACAAUGAGCUCACCGCCGAGAUCCCGGAAGGGCUGUGCACUGGAGACAACCUCCAGCACCUCACCGCCAAGAGCAACCAAUUGAACGGCUCCAUCCCAGCAGGCCUUGCCAACUGCGCCACUCUUGGAACCCUGUCGCUGGACAACAACCAACUCUCUGGCGACGUACCAGAGGCUCUGUGGACGGCGACGAAGCUUUACCAGAGGCUCUUCCGGCCACGGUGCAUCUCAACCUUUCGACGAUACUCAUAGGGAACAACCAAUUUGGUGGCAACAUUCCGGCUGCACUAGCUGCGCUCCAGGUGUUCACCGCCGAGAACAACCGGUUUUCUGGUGCGAUACCGGCGAGUCUUGGCGACGGCAUGCCGCUGCUGCAAAGACUGAACUUAUCCGGUAACCAACUGUCCGACGGGAUCCCCAGAAGCGUUGCUAAGCUAAGCCAGCUGACGGAAAUGGACCUGAGCAGGAAUCAGCUCACCGGAGGCAUACCGGUAGAGCUCGGCGCCAUGCCGGUGUUAAGUGUCCUUAACCUGUCGUCGAACAAGCUCUCCGGCAACGUGCCGCAGGCGCUUGCGAAGCCGACACUCACCGCCCUAACCUGUCCUCGAACCAUCAGACCGGCCAGGUCCCGGCCGGGUUCGCCACCGCGGUCUACGACACCAGCUUCCUCAACAACCCCGGCCUCUGCACCGCCGCUUGGGGACCUGGCUACCUCACGGGCGUACGCUCCUGCGCCGGUGGAUCACAAGACGGCGGUUCCUCCGGAGGCGUGUCGCACGCCCUGCGCAGGGGAACCUCGCCGUGGCGUUCGCCUUCUUCGUCGUCCGCGACAUCAAGAAACGGCGGCGCGUCGCGGAGCAAGACAACUGGAAGAUCACGCCUUUCGUCAAAGAUCUGGGAUUCGGUGAGGCACCCAUACUCCGGGGGCUGACGGAGGAGAACCUCGUCGGGCGCGGGGGAUCGGGGCGCGUGUACCGCGUCGCCUACACCAACCGGCUUAACGGCCGAGCCGGCGCGGUGGCCGUAAAGCAAAUACGGACCGCCGGGAAGCUCGACCAGAAGCUGGAACGCGAAUUCGCGUCAGAGGCUGGCAUCAUCGGCAACCUCCGGCACAACAACAUCGUCAAGCUCUUGUGUUGCCGCUCCAGCGCCGAGUCCAAGCUCCUCGUGUACGACUAUGGACAACGGCAUCCUGGACAGGUGGCUCCACGGCGACGCCCUCGUCGCCGGCGGGCGCCCCAUGGCGAGGGCGCGGUCCGCGCGGCGCGAGCCGCUGGACUGGCCGGCGAGGCUCAGGGUGGCCGUCGACGCCGCGCAGGGGCUGUGCUACAUGCACCACGAGUACGAGCCGCCCAUCGUCCACCGCGACGUCAAGACGAGCAACAUCCUGCUGGACUCGGAGUUCCGGGCCAAGAUCGCCGACUUCGGGCUGGCCACAGGAUGCUGCUGCAGGCCGGGGCGCCGGAAACGAUGUCCGCCGUCGCUGGCUCGUUCGGCUACAUGGCUCCUGGUAAGGAUUCGAACUUGCUGCUUUCAGUGAAUUUCUGUCCCAUUUCUACAAAUGCCACGUGUUCUCGUGUUGCCGGACCUUAGAUUGGGCCUUUUGAUGCUUAUCUGCAGAGUGUGCUUACACCAAGAAGGUGAACGAGAAGGUAGACAGCUUCGGUGUCAUUCUCCUGGAGCUCACCACCGGAAAGGAGGCCAACAACGGCGGCGAGCACGGCUGCCUGGCGGACUGGGCACGGCGCCACUACCAAUCAGGAGGGAGCAUCGCCGACGCCACAGACAAGAGCAUCAGAUACGACGGGUACUCUGACGAGAUCCAGGUUGUCUUCAGGCUCGGCGUGCUCUGCACCGCCGAUAUGCCGUCGUCGCGGCCAACCAUGAACGACGUGCUGCAGAUCUUGGUCAAGUGCAGCGAGCAGACGUACCACAAGGGCAAGACGGAGCGUGGCCCAGAGUAUGAGGUGGCUCUUCUACCCAAACGCGGCAGUCGCCGGAAACAGCUUUCAAACGGCUCGGGGAUUUACAUCGAAGAGAAGAUGACAGCAUUGUCUGAAGAAAGGAACUGACCACUGCAUAUGCCAGUAAGCAGCUUGUGACAUCGUCAGUGAACUGCUUGCUAUAGUGAUACUUCACAUUUUAGCAGAGUACAGCGGAGAAUUAUGCCUCUAAUCUUUUUUUUUCUGAGGAGCUAAGUAUCUUUAUAUUAAAAAGAGAAUAUAAAUAGAAAAAAUCAGUCCAUUGGAAGCAACCACUCUAGCUCACCUAGGAGAAUAGAGAGAUUGCAUAAACAAGCGAAGAAAAAACCGUCACCAGACCUUGACCCUGCACGGCUGGACUAGGGACAUGCAUAGUAUAGAGCAGGGCUUGUGGUUAGCCAAACCGUUCUGUGUAUUGAUACUGCAAAUCUGUAUUAAAUCACACACACAUUAUACGUUCCGACAGAAGAACUAGCAAACAUUACGAUUAUACUCCCUCCGUUCUUAAAUAUAUAACGCUAUUGACUUUUUCAUUUGUUUGACUAUUCAUCUUUUCUACAAAUAUUUUUGCAAAUAGAUAAAUCUACGAGUUAAAUCUAAAGUACAUUUCACAAUAGUCAUAAUGAUACACAUUUUACUUUAGUUAACUAACUCAUUCAAUAGAUAUUGAUGGUCAAAGUUGGAGUAAAAAGCCAACAGCAUCAUAUAUUUAAGAAUGGAGGGAGUAAUUUAUUUCUGAAAUAAAGGCAGGAGAUGGAGCUCUGCUUAUCCAUUCAGAAAUUAGUACGAUUGAAUGAUUUUGUCUCCUUCCAGUUUUUAUUGUAAAACACAGAAUAUUACACGGAUAGGCACUGAUUGUUAUCCGGAAGAAAAUGAAUUUUUAUAUUUCAAAAGAAAAGGCCCAAUUUGCACCCUCUAGCUAGCACGAUAAUCCAAUUUUCAGCUAAACUGACCAUGGGCCGGCCCAAAGGCACAGGAAUUUGGCCCGGUCUAGGCAUGGCGGCCGUCGUGCUCGUGCUAACCCGACCCACACCAUGGGCCGUGCUUGGGCCGUUGCCUCAGCCCACGUACUGGUCCGGCACGGCCUGCCCAUUUGGCCCGUCGGGAUUAAGUGGGCGGCCCAUCCUAUUAAGGCCCACUCGACCGCAUAUAAAACCCCCCACCCCCAAACGGCCAAACCCUACCUUCCUCUUCGUGUCCCGCGCCCUUCGCCGCCGUCACCUCCCCCGCGCCCUUCGCCGCCUCUCGCGCCCGCCGGCCGCUCACGCCCUCCGCCGCUUCCCCCCGCCGCCUCCCUCACGCCCUCCGCCGCAUCCUCCCACCGCCUCCCUCGUGCCCUCCGCCACCUCCCGCGCCCGCCGGCCUCUCGCUCCCCUGCCACCUCCCCCGCGGCCCUCUGCCGCCUCCUACACCCGCCGGUCCCUUGCCGCAAUUGGGGAAGAUGGUGGCCUGCACGGCGGCGCGCGCAAACGUCCUGUCGUCCCUCGGCGGUGGGAGCUGCGGCACGAGUGGGCGCCUGGGCAGAUCCGGGAAAGGUCUAUGGGCGCCCUGACGACGAGGUGGUCGAAGUCAUCGGGGCUAUCGAACUCGACGACGACAGGCGCUACGGGCGUAUGAGCAGAGGAAGGGUGAAUUCUGUGCCGCAGGCUGGCACGAGCACGGUGAGGCCGUUAAGGCCUGCCAGGCCAGCGUGCCAGCACGGCCCACCUAAGAAGGCUGCGGGUCAUGCCUGGACCGCUCCUUCGGCACAUGGGCCGGCACGGCCUGGCACUAUUACCGUGCAAGCCUAACCGUGCCGGGCCUAACCGUGCCAGGCCAAAUCGUGCUCGUGCCAGGCCGGGUUGGGCUACCUGUUUGGCCAUCUAUACAUCCAACGGUUGAAACCAGAUAAAUUUUAUCCUUUAGCUGGUUUCAAAGAUGUUUUUUUGUUUUAUUAGACAUUUAAAAAAAAUCUGAUUUAAUCUUGUUGGGGGGAAAUAUUAACGAUCCCCUAAAUACCACUUAAAGGAGCAGACGCGAAGGCCCGGGCCCACCUAAGCAUAAUCAAAACUCCGCCUCGCCCGACCGCGGCCUCAGGGUCAGGAACGCCCGACCCCCCUCCACGAGGUUUCCGCCUCGUCCGACUGCGGCCCCAGGGUCGAAGGCGCCCGAUCCCUCGCCACAAGGUUCCGCCUCGUCCGACCCCAAGCGCAGGGGUCGGGCUCGCUGGGGCCCCCAGGGCAGGCAUCCCCCUCGGAUGUGGACCAGGUGGGCAAGAUAAACAAAUCUUGCGGGUCCCCCCCCCCAUCGGCCUCGUCAUAAAUGCGCUGCGGGCCUGGCAGAGGGAGGAAUGACCACGCUCCUCACACAACCCGCCGCAAGUACCCAUGCACGACCAUACUGUACAAGCUACAGCGCUGGCGGCUCACUCCCAUUCGCCGCAGGGUACUCAUGGCCUGCGCCGACCGGAGCGGAGGAGAGACUCGCCUGUCCUCGAGCCCCGCGCACCCUCGGGUCCCGUGCGCCUGGCAUCUAGGAUGUGACGCCCUCUCUCCAGGAGCCAUCAUCAGAAUGGCAGCAUCCACCGUCCUCCCCAACGGACACCGGGAUAACGACGAAACGCCCUCAUCAUAACCCGACGCCUACGGAUGCCGAAGGAGCUAUCUGUAGGGUGCAACGACAGUUGGCGCACGGCCGCCUCCCCCUCCGGCAUGCACGCCGGCGCUCGCCAGGAGCCGGCGGAGGCGUCGGGCGUCUAGGAACUUGUUCCUCCCAUCCUGCCGUAUUUUUUACCGUACUACGUUCACAUUUUACGGUCCUCUUCGCCCGAUCCCAACUGUAACUCUGGCCACUCCCCUUGCGAUAUAAAAGGAGGAACACAGGGCCGGAGGGGGGGAUCGGCUUCUUCCCCCUCAAGCCACAGCAUGCUAGUACGCUCCCUGAGAACAUAGGCUCAAAGAGACUUGGGACCAGUCCCUCUCUCGUCGGUCUGUAACCCCUACUACAGAACCCCGCGUGGGCAAUACGAGCAUCCACGAUACUGGACGUAGGGCUCCCUUUGCUCGAACCAGUCUAAUCCGUGUCUCCCACGCCACCAUCUGAGGCCUUACGCGCAUAAAAGAAAUUUACUAGUCUAAGUCUUGAUCCGCCAAUCUUGACAACGACAGUUGGCGCGCUAGGUAGGGGACCUUUGCGCAUACCCUCCCAGCCUCAGAUGGCCAAUUACGAUAGUAGCUUUGCUCCGGGCUCCCUGAUCCGAUUCGGGAGCCUGGACUUCCUCGCCACCGGGGAAGGGAUCAAGCUGAUCCCUGUCCUCAUCCUGCCCGCUCGCCCGCCUGCCCCCGGCCCCGCCGCCGGGACAGCGGUGAGCGGCCGCUCGCAUACCGGAAGGACCUCGCCAGGGGGACGGCCCUUCGGGCUACGCAAUGCCACGGGGGCCUACGGACGCCUCCUAGCGCGGUCCAUGACCGCGUCGCCCGCGAGCAACGAGCUCGUAGGUGCGACAAGGACGAUCUCCGACACCGGCUCCAGCAGCGGGAGCCCCCACCCCUCGCGUGAGUGCCUCGUGGUCGACGAGCACUCUGAGGGAUCCAACAGCAACGAUGCCGAGGAGAGACAAAGGGCUGCCCCUCGCGCGCCGCGGCUAUGACCGGAGCCUUACCAAGGGCACCAGAGUGCUCUCAGCAACGAGAGGCGCGCGCGGGCGCCCGCCAAGAAGUCGAGCACCCCCACCACGAGGGAGGAGCGCGACAACGGGCGCGAGACGUCCAGCGACGCAUCUGCGCGGAUGAAGAGCGUCCGCAGCUUUUCGCCCGCGCCAGCCAAAACGUCGCAGCCGCGGCGGUGUUGCUCCGACAGCUCCCCGAACCAGCGAUGCCCGAGGAGCGACGGGCACGCCAAGAGAUGCGCGACCUGCUCGAAUGCGCCGCCGUCCAGCAGGCGGAAAGCUCCGCGUCCCGGCGACGCGGGCAGAAUGCCAGCAGGGCGACGCCCGACGCGCCCCCGGAAAGGCGGGGGGAAUCAGUCCAUCUACCCCCUCCUGGGGCGAAUCAGGCCGCGUCCGCCCGACGGACUCCACCACCCGCGGGAGGCGAGGCUCGAUCCGUCCACCAGCGCGUCGGCCUCGUCCGCGACGCCCGCGACACCCUAAACGCGCGGAGACGCUCCCGCGCGGACAGGGAGGACGGGGUAGAUCGAGGCUACCACGUCCACCGUGGCGGGCGCUACGACAGCGGGGAAGACCGCAGCCUGAGCCCCGGUCCGGCUGGGCCCCGGGCCUUCUGUGCGCGCAUCCUGAACGCGCCUUUUCCGCCGCGCUUCAGGCAACCCAUGAGUAUAGCCAAAUACUCAGGGGAGACGAAUCCUGGAGUGUGGCUCAGCGAUUACCGGCUUGCAUGUCAAGCCGGCGGGGCGGAUGAUGACCUGUUUAUCAUCCGCAACCUACCCCUCUUCCUAGCCGACUCAACGCGAGCUUGGCUAGAACAUAUCCCUUCGGGACGAGUUCGCAACUGGAAUGACCUGAAGGAGGUUUUCAUAGGGAACUUCCAGGGCACGUACACACGCCCCGACAAUUCCUGGGACCUCCGGAGCUGUCGUCAGGGGGCGGACGAGUCCCUCCGAGAUUAUAGCCGGCGCUUCUCCAGGAAGCGCACCGAGCUCUCCAACGUCGCGGACGCCGAUGUCAUAGGAGCUUUCCUAGCAGGAACCUCCUGCCGGCCCCUCGUCCACGAGCUGGGGUGCCGAGGCCCGCGAACCACGGAGGAGCUCCUCAAUAUCGCCACUAGUUACGCCUCGGGCGAAGAGGCCGUUGGAGCAAUCUUCGACCGCUCCAAAGGCAAGGCGAAACGGGAGGAGGUUGCUGGCGAAGGCACCUCCAACCGCCAGCAGAAGAAGAAGGGCAAGUUACGGCGCGAGGCCCCCCUCGUGGCCGCAGCUGAGCGCAAGCGAGGGCCGCCGCCCCCCGAGGGCGCUCCCGGCUUCUUCGACAAGUUGCUUGAGGGACCGUGCCCGAACCACGAGUUCCCCGUGAAGCACGCCUACAAAGACUGCAACCUCAUGAAGAGAUACUUCAUGGGCAAUUCGGUGAAAGGCGACCGGAAGCGGAAGCCCGAUGAGGAAAAGAAGGGCGACGAAGAGAAGGAAGACGGCUUCCCCAAGGUGGACGGCUGCUUCAUGAUCUUCGGGGGCUCUGCGGCAUACGACACCAAGCGCCAGUAGAAGCUGGAGCGCCGGGAGGUCUACGCGGCCGAGCCAGCGACUCCGGCCUUCCUGGACUGGUCAGGGCCGGCCAUCACCUUCGACAGGACCGACCACCCUGGACGCGUCCGGCACCCGGGGCGUUACCCUCUCGUCGUCGACCCCAUCGUCGGCACGACGCGCCUCACCAAGGUGCUCAUGGACGGAGGCAGCAGCCUCAACAUCCUCUACGCCGAGACCCUCGACGCUAUGGGGAUCGACCGUUCCCGCCUCCAUCCCAGCAAGGCGCAUUUCCAUGGCGUCGUGCCAGGGAAGCAGGCGAUGCCUCUCGGGCAAAUCGACCUGCGCGUUACGUUCGGGACCCCUUCCAACUACAGGAAGGAGGUCCUCACAUUCGAGGUGGUGGGGUUCCGCGGAACCUACCACGCCAUCUUGGGACGGCCUUGCUACGCAAAGUUCAUGGCUAUCCCCAACUACACCUACCUCAAGCUCAAGCUGCCGGGGCCCAACGGGGUCAUCACCGUCGGCACGACCUUUCAGAAGGCGUACGAGUGCGACGUAGAGUGCUGCGAGUACGCCGCGGCCAUCACCGUCACGAGCGAUUCGGCAGUCCAGCUUGCGGAGGCCACCGAGGACCGGCCCGACUCCAGGCAGCCGAACAUCUCCUUCGAGCCCGCUGAAGGUAUCAAGGAGGUCCCCCUUGAUCCCGGUUGUUCCAACGGAGGAGUCGUGCGGAUCAGCGCGGCCCUAUCCCCCAAAUAGGAAAGCGCGCUCGUUGACUUCCUCCGCGCGAACAGCGACGUCUUCGCGUGGAAGCCAUCGGACAUGCCAGGCAUUCCGAGGGAAGUCGCCGAGCACUCCUUGAACAUCAGGGCCGGUUCCAAGCCAGUAAAGCAAGGAUUGCGCCGUUUCGACGAGGAAAGGCGCAAGGCCAUCGGCGAAGAGCUCCAGAAGCUUCUGGCGGCCGGGUUCAUCAAGGAAGUGCACCACCCCGAGUGGCUAGCUAAUCCUGUCCUUGUACCAAAAAAGAAUGGGAAAUGGAGGAUGUGUGUCGAUUAUAACGGUCUCAACAAAGCGUGUCCAAAGGACCCGUUUCCUUUGCCACGCAUAGAUCAAAUAGUCGACUCAACUGCCGGGUGCGAGACCCUCAGCUUCCUCGACGCAUAUUCCGGCUACCAUCAGAUCGCGAUGAAAGAGGCCGACCAGCUCGCUACCUCCUUCAUCACCCCCUUCGGUCCCUACUGCUACGUUAAGAUGCCAUUCGGCCUCAAAAACGUGGGGGCUACCUUCCAGCGAUGCAUGCUGUAGUGCUUCGGAGACCUCAUUGGGCGGACCGUUGAGGCCUACGUUGACGACAUCGUCGUAAAAUCCCGGAGGGGCGACCAGCUCGUUCCCGUCCUUGAACUAGCCUUCGAGAGGCUGAGGGAUAAGCGUAUUAAGCUCAAUCCCAAGAAAUGUGUGUUCGGAGUCCCAAGGGGCAUGCUGUUAGGCUUCAUCGUCUCCGUGCGCGUCAUCGAAGCAAACCCGGAGAAGAUAGCGGCCAUUAGAGACAUGGGGCCGAUCCGGAACAUAAAGGGAGUUCAGCGCAUCAUGGGAUGCUUGGCAGCUCUAAGCCGCUUCAUCUCGCGCCUCGGCGAGCGAGGGCUUCCUUUCUAUCGGCUCCUGAAGAAGACUGACCGUUUCGAAUGGACCAGCGAGGCCCAGGAGGCACUUGACCGACUCAAGGACCUCCUGACGAAGGCCCCGAUCCUAGUCCCGCCUACCGACGGCGAGUCCCUCCUGCUCUACGUCGCGGCGACCACCCAGGUGGUUAGCGCGGCCUUGGUGGUGGAACGAGAAGAGGAAGGACACGCUCUCAAGGUGCAACGCCCGGUGUAUUUCAUCAGCGAAGUCUUGUCCGAGUCCAAGACACGUUACCCGCAGAUCCAGAAGCUCGUCUACGCCAUCCUUAUCACAAAGAGGAAGCUGCGCCACUACUUCACCUCCCACCCGGUAACAGUCAUUUCGUCAUUCCCGUUAGGCGAAGUAAUCCGGAACCCAAAUGCUACAGGGAGAAUCGCGAAGUGGGCGCUUGAGCUCAUGGACCAGGGUAUCACCUACGUCCCCCGCACCGCCAUCAAGUCCUAGGCACUCGCCGACUUCGUGGCAGAGUGGACGGAGAUUCAAACGCCAUCGGCGCCAGAGAAGCAGGAGUAUUGGACAAUGUACUUCGACGGGUCACUGAUGAGGGCCCGCGCCGGAGCGGGUCUCGUUUUCGUCUCUCCCUUGGGCAUGCGCAUCAGGUACAUGAUCCACCUUCAUUUUCCUGCAUCUAAUAAUGUCGCCGAGUACGAAGCCCUCCUCAACGGACUCCGCAUCGCCAUCGAGCUGGGCAUCCGUCGGCUGGACAUCCGGGGCGAUUCCCAGUUGGUCGUCGAACAAGUCAUGAAGGAGUGGAGCUGCCACGACCCCAAAAUGGCAGCCUACUGCAACGAGGUCCGUAAGCUCGAAGACAAAUUCGACGAGCUAGAGCUCAACCACGUCGCAAGGCGCUUCAACGAAGCCGCCGACGAGCUGGCGAAGGCGGCAUCCGAAUGAAUGCUCGUCCCCGACGGCGUCUUCGUUAGCGACCAGUUGAAGCCCUCAAUCCGUUACCCAGAACUGCAGGGGUCGGCGAAGCACCCCCGGCCCUGGGAUCGGGACCCGAGUCAGGGGAGGUCGGCAGCGCGCCACCUGUCCGAGACCCGAGCACCAGCCCCGAGGGGGUCGACAACGCUUUGCCCAACUCGGCCCCGGGAGCCGAUCCGUCCGACCCCGGGGUCAUGGAAAUCACGGCAGAUUCCGCGGCGGGUGCCGACCCCCCGAUCGAUUGGAGAGCCCCAUACAUCGACUACCUCGUCCGCGACACGCUCCCGGCAGACAAAACGGAGGCCCGUAGGAUCGCGCGCCGCGCCAAAUCCUUCGCCAUCAUCGACCAGGAGCUCUACAAGAAAAGCCACACUGGAAUCCUCCAGCGCUGCAUCUCGAUCGAACAGGGAAAGGCGCUGAUCAAGGAUAUCCACGCCGGAGCCUGUGGUCACCACGCCGCGCCAAGGACCCUCGUUGGUAACGCCUUCCGACAAGGUUUUUACUGGCCGACCGCGGUCGCGGACGCUACCCAGGUAGUCCGCACCUGUGAAGGAUGCCAGUUCUUUGCCCGCCAGACUCACCUGCCCGCGCAGGCGUUGCAGACCAUCCCCAUCACGUGGCCAUUUGCGGUUUGGGGGCUAGAUCUCGUCGGACCCUUCAAGAAGGCACCCGGGGGCUUCACCCAUCUGCUCGUCGCCAUCGACAAGUUCUCCAAAUGGAUCGAGGCAAGACCGGUGGCGCAAAUCAGGUCCGAGCAGGUGGUCCAGUUCUUCACCGACAUCAUCCACCGCUUCGGGAUCCCGAAUUCCAUCAUCACCGACAACGGCACACAGUUCACUGGGAAGAGAUUCCUCCAGUUCUGCGACGACCACCACAUCCGAGUGGAUUGGGCGGCCGUGGCACACCCCCGCACGAACGGGAAAGUCGAGCGAGCCAAUGGCAUGAUACUCCAGGGUCUCAAGCCAUGGAUCUUCGACCGCCUUAAAAAAUUCGACGGACGGUGGGUUGCGGAGCUUCCCGCAGUCCUUUGGAGCCUGAGGACGACCCCCAGCCGGGCGACGGGCUUCACCCCGUUCUUCAUGAUCUACGGGUCAGAGGCCAUUUUGCCCACCGAUCUAGAGUACAGAUCGCCAAGGGUCAAGGCAUACGACGAACAGGGAAACCAGGCAUCAUUCGAGGACGCGCAAGAUCAACUCGAUGAAGCGCGAGACGUAGCUCUACUGCACUCGGCUAAGUACCAGCAGGCCCUACGGCGUUACCACAGCCGCAAGGUGCAAGGCUGAGCCUUCAACGUCGACGACUUGGUGCUCCGCCUCGUCCAAGACAACAGGGGUCGGCACAAGUUGACUCCCCCAUGGGAAGGCCCGUUCAUCGUCGUACAAGUUCUACGGCUGGGCACCUACAAGCUGGCAACUCCCGACGGGCAGGUUUUCAGCAACGCCUGGAACAUAGAACAGCUAAGGUGCUUUUACCCAUAGCUUUUAUUUCCAAGCCCUGCAUAAAACUUGUCUUCAAUUCCGAUAUUUCCUUUAAGCUCAGGGGUAUCCGACCCUGGCCUCGUUCCAGGGCCGCAUACCCCUCGGGGGCUACCAGUUUUGCUCCUCUGCGAAAAAAAAGAAACCCCGAGCCGUCUCGGUUCAGGCCUUUUCCUUUAAGCUCAGGGGUAUCCGACCCUAGCCUCGCUCCAGGAUCGCAUACCCCUCGGGGGCUAUCAGAGGUUCCGACCCCAGCCGCUCGGCCCUAUCUAAAAGAAACAUUUUUUCUUUUCAAACCGAACACUCCCUUUCUAGACCUUUGGGCGCAAAAAAGAGAAGGAUGCGCGAACGGUGCUCAGGCAAGUUUGAUCGGACUGCGAAAAAACCUACGCCCCAGCGGCUACGGCACCUUCGCUCAUCAAAACUUAAUGACGCACCCGACAACGCAUUCUAAACUUUCAAGCCCAAAGGAACAGCAAAGGGGAUCGGGAUCUUUCGCACAACGAAGUCAUAAACAAGCCUGUAUGGCCAUCACAAAAUAAGUUCGAAACUAACAUAAUUACAUUUUGGGCACAAGCCCGGUACAGUUAACUUGACGAGGGGUCGGCAGGAGGGAUGACCUCAUCUUCCAGGAGCUUCGCGAGGGCCUCCGCCGGCGCGGACACCGCUGCAUCAAUCCCGUCCAGCUCAGCUUCGGUGUAAUCAGCGGCGUACCCUUCACUCAUCCCGGCAAAGUUGAUGCCAGAAUAAUGGGAGCCGAAGACCCCGAAGGCUCGCCGCAUGCCGACGUGAAGCGCGUCCAUGGCGAUCUCGCGACGUCGACGGCGUACCCCAAGGACACGAGCCGGCAGAGAGCUCGACCCCUCCUCCGGAACUACGCCAAAGUCGUCACAGACGACGCGGACCGCAUCCCGCAAGGCGCCGUGCUCGCCGUGCUCCGCGUCGAGCAAACCCUUCAGCUUGGCGAUUUCGCCUGCAGGAACCACCCAGAAAAGCCCACCAAGUCAAGAACAGAACACAAAAUGUCACGGGAACGCGGGAACGGAAAAAAAAAGCCUCACCGUCGGCCCAGGCCUUCAACUCGCGCUCCCGGUCGGCUCCUUGAGACACGGCGGACUGGAGUCCCUGCACUUGCGAGCGAAGGCGACCAGUCUCCGCGCUAAGGGCUUCACGCUCCCCCCUCAGCUGUGCAAGCUCCCCGGCAUCACGACGGGCCCUCUCAGCGGCAGCUUGAAGCUCCUCGGCGUCGCGGCGGACCCUCUCAGCGACAGCUUGGAACUCCUCGUGGUCGAGGCGGGCUUUCUCGAUGACGGCUUGGAGCUUGGCCUCCGAUCACCGCGCCUCCUCCAACGCCGCCCCCUCACGCCUUUGCAGGUCCCGAAUGACCCCCUGGGCGGCAGUGACUUGCAGGGACAGGUCCCUGGUGCGCUCCCUCUCCGCGUUGAAGCGCUCCCAGAGACCCUGCUGCAGCCGAAGGAAAUCAGAUUUCCCCCGACUGCCCUCUUGGAGGGCCUGCAAAGCAACGUGCCAUUAGAAAAAAAAAAGCAAAAGGGAGGUGCUGAUCACCAACAGUAGGAGCAACAUACCUGGCUGCCAGGGAGGACGGUGUUACCCAGAACCCCCAACGCCGAAGACAGAGCCGCCUCAACGUGGGCAAGGCCGCCCUGCAUCGCCUGCCACUUGUGCCACUCAGUGGCGUCGUCCAGCGUGAAGAGAUGCCUCGGCGGGUCAUCGCGGGAUGACCAGCGAAGGACAGACCCCCUCCACGCCCUGGGAACGGAGGGAGCCGAGGCCGAGGCAGGGGCCGAUCCUGACGCUGCCGUCAAGGUCGGCACCAUUGCACUAGAAGCCGCCGAGUUUACUGACGGCCCCGGCACCUGCACGCUCGUCGCCGCCGAGGCCGCCGGCGGUAUCCCAGUGGGCCCCUCCGCCUCCGCCGCCGGAGCCACUCCCGCGGGGGUAAUUGGGGCGGAGGCCCCCGCCUCCGUCACCGUUGCCUCCGCCGCCGCGCUUUCGGGGGCAGGCGUUCCCUCCGCCACCGAUCCCGCCGCGGCUGCGGGGGCAUCCGCCCUACCUCCCGUCGCCGCCGUCUCCUCUGCCUCGUCGGCGUCGAAGUCGAUCACCUUCCCGGCCUGAGAACCCGGGGGGAUCGUGCCCUGCGCUGUAGGGGCGACUGGGGGGACCGAAGGCGGAGUAGGGUCCGCUCCCCCUCCCACGGCUGACACCGCCGUCGCUCCGCCGGCCGCCACCACAGGGGCCGCCUCCGCGGAGGGGUCCGCGGCCUCACCAGGGACCCCGCCGCUCGCCGCGGGCGGGACCGCGGUCCGCCCCCCAGAGGAGGUUGACAACCGCAACGCCUUCUUAGGCACCAGCUGCAGGGCAAGGCCACGAGGGGCGGCGCUGCAUAUCGACAAACAGACGUCAGCACAAACGAGCGUGAGAAGAGGAGAGGAACGAGGCGCAAGGAAGGCCAACUUACGUCCUUGAAGCACAAGGGCGGCGCGCGCGCUUCGACUCAGAGCCCGACGCCGACCCCGGGGCAUCUGGCAGCGGCCGCUUGUCGCCACUUCGCUGCUCUCCAGUCGCGGGCACGGCGGUGGAGGCAGUCUCUGCAGAUCUCCGAGGAGCACCCUGAGCGGACUCCUGGGGAGCGCCCCGCGCCGGCUCUGAAGUGGCGGCGGGGGCAGGCUCCGAGGACCCCCGAGGGGCGCUCCGCGCCAGCUUUGGGAAGGAGCCCCGUGUCGACCCCUGGGGGGCACCCUUCACCGACCCCUGGGGAGCGUCCCGCGCCCGCUCCUGGGAGGCACCCCGCGCCGGCCCCUGGGGGGCGUUCCGCGUCGACUCCUGGGGGGCGUCUCGUGCCGGCUCCGAAGCGGCGGCGGGGGCAGGCUCCGAAGACCCCCGAGGGGCGCUCCGUAUCGACCCCUGGGGGGCACCCCUUGCCGACCCCUGGGGAGCGUCCCGCGCUCGCUCUUGGGACACGCCCCGCGUCGGCCCCUGGGGGGCGUCCCGCGUCGUCUCCUGGGGACACGCUGUACUGGCCCCUGGGGCGCAGCCCCAGGGCCUGGUGGAGCCGAAGCCCGGGCGGGCGCCUCCUCCACUUCACCUCCCGCGGCCGUCCGCGGGGGUGCCUCACGAAUGGCGAGGGCGCCCGAUCGGAAGGAGGAAAUCAGCUCCUCCUCAUCAUCAUCUUCCUCAUCUUCAUCCUCUUCAUCAUCGUCGUCAUCAUCGUCGUCGUCGUCAUCGAACACGACCGACCCCCUCCGCCGCCGUUGGAACUCCUUAGCGGCCUUCUUCCUCUUCUUCGCCAUCUCGAUGUCCUUCCGGCGCUUCUGCGCCUCGGCGAGGAGACGGUUGUGCGUCCGCCGCUCAACAUCUUCCGGCACCGGCGGGAGCGAGUGCGCGACCCGGGUUAGCGGACCCUACAAACGCAAAGCAGCUCCACGUCAGAGUGACAAUCGCAAGACACGAAGAAAGGAGGAGGACGCCCCAACUCCUUACCAGAUCUAUGAGCCCGCAUCCGGGCGCAUCGGCGGGUGCCCGGGAAUCGGGUACUCGACGUCCUUGUCCUCCAGCGCCUCCCGAAUCCGUUGCCGGAUCUCGGAAGCGACGAGCGCACCCGUCGCCAAGGCGGUGCCCUCGGUCGGCGCGUCGGGGGUCAUGGCGGCAAGCGGUCGGAUUCAGAGCAUCAGUGGCGCCACCCGUCGGGUGUGGUACGCUCCGAUGACCCCGGCGCCGGUGAGCCCGUCCCGCUUCAGCCGCUCGAUGGCCUGCAGCAGGUCGAAGAACCGCUUCUUGUCCUUCUCCACUGGCCCGUACGCCCACACCUCCGGCGCCGCGUCGAUGGUACGGCCGGUGAAAGCCGGCAGGGGGGAGUUCGGGUAGUUCUUCACAUAGAACCACUGGUUGUGCCACCCCUUGUGGGACGCCGAGGUCUUCAUCGUCAUGUUCUCCUUGGAGCGGGUAUGACGAAGGUGGAUCCCGGCGCACCCGAUCGGCACCGGAGGUGACCGCUGCUGGCUCCCUCGCUUCUCCGUCUUCUGGUACAGGCUCACUGUGAAAAAGUAUUUCCACAGCGAGAAGUGGGGCUCAAUGCCUAGGAAUCCCUCGCACAGGGCGACGAACGCCGCAAUGUGCUGGAUCCCAUUGGGUUUGAGGUGCUGGAGCUCGAGCCCAUAGUAGUGGAGGAGCCCCCGAAAGAAGCGGCUCGAGGGAGAGGCGAACCCCCGCUCAUGGAAGUGAGCGAAGGAGACGAUGUAGCCAGAGAGAGGCUCCGGCACCUGCUCCGGGCCCGACAGCAACCACUCAGCCGCCUCCGUCUUCUCGCAGAGGAGGCCUUUUCGCACCAGGCCCUCGGCGCGCGAGGAGGUGAAAUGGGAGAUCCCCCAGGAACCCAUCGCCGGAGGAGGGAGAUCAACGGAGGUGAGAAGAAAGGGCACGGCUUGGAGCAAAGGAAACGAAGCGGGCACGGACAAACUGAACGCUAGGCUGGAGGGCGGAAAGGCUCGAAUGCAGAAGGCGGGCGGAACCGGCGCGGCGGGCUCCCGUUUUUAUAGGAAAGGUACGGGAGAAGCCAAAUCGACGCCCCGGCCGCCAUAAAUGCGGCGCCAGGUACGCCCCUGCCACGCCCGUUUCCUUUUCGAAAACCGCGCGCACGGCCGGCCGCGAAAACAUCCUAUCCUCCUCGAUUCGCGGGAUGGCGCUUCCCAUAACUCCACCUCCCGGAAGGCACGACGUCCCCCACGUUCGGCCCAGACGUCACGACCGCUCCGUUCUGGCCCAAGGCCCACCGAAAGGUAAGAAAGGGAUACGGGGCUGAAAACGCCCCUACGGCCCAUUACGGUCCAGAGGUUCGAAGGCUGGCCCACCGCGGGAUCGACAGCUGCCUCAGGAUAUCUCCCGAGCAAGGGGUGAGAAGGGACGGGUCCACUAGCGGCCAACACCCAGGCAAGCGAAAGCCAAGGGCGUCCCGACCUCACGUUCGAGUCCCGUCCGGUAUAAAGUUCAUGGUUUUUCCACGGGGAAAGGCAACGAGCCCCCGGAUUCGGCCGAACGGACCCGGGAACUAUAUGAACUGGCCGGCGGGAAAUUGUAGUACGCCACCAGCUUGGCCCGAGCCGGACCCCCCCGAACGGGGACCGGGACUCCACUCGAACCUACCUGUUCGCAGCUCAAAGCGAGCACCACGGUUCGUCCAACUAGGAUAACGUGGCACGGCUCAACCCCUCCGUCCUAGCGAACGGACGCUUGAGGGGCAACGACCAAAAGUCGACCUGGCCUCCCGACCGGUCUCCCGCAACGAGCAGGGGCUCGGGGGCUAGCAUCGCAACCAACGACCAUGCGUAUGGUCACGAUUCCCAGGCUCCCCGGCCAAACCGGGAUGAAGCAAGCGCACCAUAAACAAAAUCCACGGAGAAACGGCGAAAGAAGCCUCCGGAGGAGCACUUUUUGCUCCACCACAGGCUCGGGGGCUACUGUUGGGGGGAAAUAUUAACGAUCCCCUAAAUACCGCUUAAAGGAGCAGACGCGAAGGCCCGGGCCCACCUAAGCAUAAUCAAAACUCCGCCUCGCCCGACCGCGGCCUCAGGGUCAGGAACGCCCGACUCCCCUCCACGAGGUUUCCGCCUCGUCCGACUACGGCCCCAGGGUCGGAGGCGCCCGACCCCUCGCCACAAGGUUCCGCCUCGUCCGACCCCAAGCGCAAGGGUCGGGCUCGCUGGGGCCCCCAGGGCAGGCAUCCCCCUCGGAUGCGGACCAGGUGGGCAAGGUAAACAAAUGCUGCGGGUCCCUCCCCCGUCGGGCUCAUCAUAAAUGCGCCGCAGGCCUGGCAGAGGGAGGAAUGACCGUGCUCCUCACACAACCCGCCGCAAGUACCCAUGCACGACCAUACUCUACAAGCUACAGCGCUGGCGGCUCACUCCCAUUCGCCGCAGGGUACUCAUGGCCUGCGCCGACCGGAGCGGAGGAGAGACUCGCCUGUCCUCGGGCCCCGCGCACCCUCGGGUCCCGUGCGCCUGGCAGCUAGGAUGUGACGCCCUCUCUCCAGGAGCCAUCAUCAGAACGGCAGCAUCCACCGUCCUCCCCAACGGACACCGGGAUAACGACGAAACGCCCUCAUCAUAACCCGACGCCGACGGAUGCCGAAGGAGCUAUCUGUAGGGUGCGACGACAGUUGGCGCACGGCCGCCUCCCCCUCCGGCAUGCACGCCGGCGCUCGCCAGGAGCCGGCGGAGGCGUCGGGCGUCUAGGAACUUGUUCCUCCCAUCCUGCCGUAUUUUUUACCGUACUACGUUCACAUUUUACGGUCCUCUUCGCCCGAUCCCAACUGUAACUCUGGCCACUCCCCUUGCGAUAUAAAAGGAGGAAGACAGGGCCGGAGGGGGGAUCGGCUUCUUCCCCCUCAAGCCACAGCACGCUAGUACGCUCCCUGAGAACAUAGGCACAAAGAGACUUGGGACCAGUCCCUCUCUCGUCGGUCUGUAACCCCUACUACAGAACUCCGCGUGGGUAAUACGAGCAUUCACGAUACUGGACGUAGGGCUCCCUUUGCCCGAACCAGUCUAAUUCGUGUCUCCCACGCCACCAUCUGAGGCCUUACGCGCAUAAAAGAAAUUUACUAGUCUAAGUCUUGAUCCGCCAAUCUUGACAACGACAAAUCUAAAAAUCCAUAACUAAUUAAUUUUAAAUCAUAAAAGUUUGAAACUAUUACCCAUCAUCUUUUUCUAGAAUGUUACCUUUUAUGUUGGUUUUUUUGAGUUAUUUGCAUAUUAUUGUCCCCAUCUCUAGUGUUUUAUUGCUUGUAGUCAAACCUACUAUUUAUUUAUUGUUGUUUUGCAUUGUAUGAUUAUUGGAUGCUAUGCGAUACAAAGAUAAUUGUUCAACAACCAUAUGCAUCAUGAAGAAAUUUCCGGAUACGAUUGAUAUUAGUACAUUAUUAACUUCUUAUCAAGAAAUAUCAAUGAAGUGUUUUAUAUGAAUAUUUUUAAUGCACCUUGAGUUUUUGGAUAACCUUUUUCAUAAAAGUUAAUUAGAUGCAUUCUUAACUAAAUAAGCCAUUUGGUAAUUUUUCAAAAAUGUUUAUUUAGGUAACAGAAAAUUUAUUUAUUUAUUCUGGAAAAAGUUUUUUUUUAACGAAGUUAGCAAGGAAAGCACCUACCUAUUCUUUAAUUGUUAUUUUAGAUCCGUUUAAUUCGCUCCCACGAGAAGUUGAAUAUAGACCUGCAGGAUGUUACUCAGGUGCUCUAACCACUAGACUAGAGUCCCUUUCGCUUCUGAAAAAGGUUUUACAAAAAUCUUUUCCCUAUUAUCUUUUGUUAAGUCUGGGAUGUUGCCGCACGUGGGAAAGAAAGAACGGGAAACAUAGACCGAGACCGCUGCUGCGCCGCCACCAUGCUUCGCCGUUGGAGGGUUAGGGUUCGGGGUUUCGGGUUAUGGGUCAUCGAUGGCGCGGCUAUCUCCGAUGUGGCUGGGAUAUAUGGGAGGUUGACGGUGGCUAGGUAGCAGGCGGUGGUGGCGGGUUGUGUGCGGGAUGGCGGGACACCACCAGUUCCGAUUUGUGGAAGACAAUAGGUGGCCUCUAGAGGCAGCGGGGGAAUCUUGGUGAGCUUCCCGCGCGGGGCUGGGUUAGGGCGGCGAAGGAUGGUGGCGGUGGAUGUGGCAGCGCGAGCCGCCGGAGAUGAUGGAGGAUGGCGGCGCGGGCGCGAGCAAAGGAGGACAGUGCGAUGGUGAUCGAGGGUUGCGACCGGCGACGCCGGAUGCAGUGGCGAGAGCCGUCGGAGCUAGAGGAGGAGGGCAGCGCGGGGGCAUGGGCGUGCGCGCUCCUGGGCUGCCAUCACUGAAGGUGACAUUGGUGAUUUUUGUCACCUUCUGUGAUAUAUAGAUAUAGACAUGCUCUAGAUAGAGGACUCCUUGGAGAGACCCCGAGAAUGGAGAUGGGCAUUUGGAGCUCUUCCAAAAUAAGGAAUCUAGAGGACUUGCUAGAAUGCAUUUUUUUUGACUUGGUCCAUUGGAGUUGUUCUAAGCCAACAACUAUUAGCAUCCUUUUAGAUAACUCUGUUAAUCUGAAAUACAACAGUUUCCUACUUUAUGUAUAAUGAGUGUCAUUGCGUCACUACGUACGAGGUCUACUUUAUGGCGGAUCUGAAGGUGUGUUUGGUUGGGAUGUGGCUUUUGGAAAAGCUACUGUGAGCUGUGGGCUGUGAAAAAGUAGCGGGGAGAAAGCAGCUGUGGGAAAAGCAGAAGACCGUUUGGUUAGAGCAGCUACGAAACUGUAGGUUGUGUAAGAAAUACCUGUAAUGCCCCUAAAGGUCUGCGGGUGUGUUUACAUGCAAAUUGCUCAUAACAAAAUAAUGUGUUCACUAAUUCACAUGUAAAUGACUAUUUUAGAAAGGAAAAAAAAUAAAUUUUAUAUGUUCUUCAUCCAUAUAAGUGAUUGGUCCACAUAAAUAGAACAAUAUCCAUCAAAAGGUUUAUACAAUGAUGUCAUCUCUCAACAUUACUGUCCUCCUCUCGCACUAACCAAAGCAUCAACUAUCCUAGCAUGAAUGAUAUUCAUGGUAUCCUCAUUCUCCAUAUCGUCACUCUCAUCUCCUUGUGUUUGUCUCGUGCCACUUGUAUAUUGUACCAAGUACUCCUACAAAACCGAGUUAGUAAGGUACAUAAUAAUACACGUAUUUCUAACUUGAUGAAGGAAUCAUGUAUACCUUUAGGAGGCACGAGAAAUAUGUCUCAAAGCAUUGUCGAGAAAAUUGAAAGAAAAGAUGAUGAACAAAGGAGGGUCAAUUCUUGUUGCUCUUUGGACUAGAGGAUUGACGAUGAUCAUUGCAGUCCUAACAAUUCUCUUGUUGCAGAACAGAGUAGCAACUUCUGAGUAGCAUAUGAUUCUUACAUCUUCCAGGCGAGGUGGCUAGUGUGCUGGAUGAAGUUGAGGUCCCUUGGCAACCUGGCAAACGCCUCCGUCAUGUCUGCAGGCAAAAUUUCCAAAAAAAACAAGAAGAUUUCAACACCACCAACAAAGCAAGCAUGUAAUCACCUGAUUAAUCAAUCAGCAAACAAUUCACAACUAGCAAUCUGUAGAAAUUAGCACGCCAUUACCGUCCUGGGUGAUGAGCGGGUAGUCGGAUGCGUUGAGGUUGACGAACCAGUCCCAGCGGCGGUGAAGGCGGAGCAGCAACGCGACGGCGUGCAGCGUGGUGGUGAGCAUGGUGGGGCCCCGGUAGGUGACGAGGUUGGGCCUGCCGACGAUCCACACGUUGCCCGCGAUCGCGUACACACCCCACCUGGACAUGAGCUCUGCCAGCCGGCAGUGCUCCUCCCCUGGACCGCAGGUAGUUGUUGGCCGGGUGGUACAGUGCCGCCAGCAGCCGCAUCGUGCGGCCCACUUCCCCUGAGGAUGCCGAGAUAAGGUAUGCGAACGAGAUCGGGUACCGCGGCGCCUCGCCGGCGGCACCGUCGAAGGCGGCCAACGAUGAGAGUGUUGACGUCGGUUUUUGACACGUGUCAGGGUCGACGUCAAGAGGAGAAGAAAGUGGCUGAUGCGGUUAAACAAGAAGCUAUGGCUAGAGAAAUCAGUCAGUAAAGCUAUAGUGUUUCAGCCGAUUAGCUAAUGAGAUAGAUGAAGACUGGCCGAUUGGAAGCUAGAAAAGCUCGGCCGAUAUGGGCCUAAAUGGGCCAAGGUGGUAACAAGAUGAAGAUAGGAUUGGCCCAUAGAGGAUUGGAUGGUGUUCGACUCCGAUACAAGUUGUAUCCGUAUGUAAAUAUUUGUUGCUUUGAAUAAGAAAUAGAAUAUUGAGUCAUAGUCGGUUAGGAAACGAGUUGUAACAGGGUAUAAAUAGGUGCCCCGUGAGGCUGGCAAAAACAUCAACAAACAUCAAUACAAAUCUACUUUUUCAUGCAACUUUACUUUCAUGUCGGCGACUUUGCCAAACCCUUUUCUUUUCACGAGUUCGUGUGAGUUGGCAGGGCUGCAUCAACGUGAUCUCCGAGCAAUUUGUAAGUUCCGCGUUUCGAGUAAUAUAUAAGCUUUAACUUUGGGCGUAUCGCUGUUGUUUUGUUUAGAUUUAUUCACUAGUUAUCGAUAUUUGCUAGAAUUAUAGGUUUUAUUCUCCGGUGGAAAGAUUGUGCCUUUGCCUGUAUUUCUCUUGCACUAAACUCAGGCGAUACCUAUUAUCGGCGGAAUGUGUGGUCGCGUGUAAAGUUGAUGUUGUCAAGUAUAUGUUAUCACUGCCGAUCUUGAAGGGAAGGAUUGGAAAAUGUAUUCUGGCACUCUCAGAAUUCGAUCUCAGGUACGAAUCGGCCAAGGCCGUCAAGGGUCAGGUAAGGCUGAUUUCGUCACCCAACACUGUGGAUCAGAAAUUACUGUCGUUGAGCCGGCUCCAUGGACUCUGUACUUCGAUGGAUAUUCGUGUGGGAUUGGAUCAGGAAUCGACAUAAUUCUUAUAUCGCCUCGGGGGGCAAGUUAUGAGUUCUCUCUGCCGAUUGAGGCUUCCGCUACUAAUAAUCAAGCAGAAAAUCGGGCUGUCUUAAAGGGCAUCCAAUUAUUGAGGGAGGUCAAGGCUGACGUGGUAGAAAUAUUUGGGGAUUCCAUGAUUAUCGUGGAUCAGUUGAUUGCAAAGUGUGAGUGCAAGGAUGAUAUUCUAAGGAUUUAUUAUGAGGAAUGCCUCCGGUUGCUCAAAGAAUUCAAGACCGUAACUAUUGAACAUAUCCCUAGGGAUUACAAUGAGGAAGCCAAUAGACUUGCCCAGCACGCUUCUGGCUACUGGCCGAUUCAUGGCGCUUUCGCUCUAGAGCUGGCGGCCGACAACUGGAGGAAGGAGAUCGCCGAUUAUUUAAAGGAUCCAUCCAAGAAAGUUGAUCGGCAGAUACGCUUCCAAGCCACAAAGUAUGUGUUACUUGAAGAUGAAUUGUUUUAUCGGACGAUUGAUGGAGUGUUUCUCAAGUGCCUUAGCAUUGAGGAAGCAAAGAUUUUGAUGGGUGAGAUUCAUGAAGGUCUAUGUGGGACCCAUCAAUCGGCUUUCAAGAUGAAGUCGAUGAUUAGAAACAAUGGGUAUUACUAGCUGACAGUACUUGAAGAUUGUUUCAAAUAUUAUAAAGGCUGUCAGGAUUGUCAAAAAUUUGGCAACGUGCAACGAGCCCCGGCCUCGGCUAUGAACCCGAUAUUAAAGCUGUGGCCAUUUAGAGGCUGGGUAAUUGAUCUCAUCGGUUAGAUCUAUCUGCCGUCAAGCAAAGGGCAUAAGUUCAUAUUGGUGGCGAUUGACUACUUCACCAAGUGGGUUGAGGCGGUUCCUUUGAAUGUUGUGAUGUCGGCCAACAUGAUCGAAUUCAUGAAGGAGCACAUCAUUUAUCGAUUUGGUAUUCCUCAGACCAUCAUGAUUGAUCAGGGGUCAAUGUUUACCUCAGGGAGUUCGAGGAGUUCACUGCCAGUAUGGGAUUAAGCUGUUGAAUUCUUCUCCGUAUUACGCUCAGGCCAAUGGUGUGACGACCCCGGUUAAAUCUUUCGAGUUAAUCUUAAUACGAGCCCCAAAAUUCCUCUGUCUCAGUUUUUCCCGAGCAGGAGUGCUCCACUCCAGUUCCUGUUCCUGACCCGUGAAGACUCUAACUCACCCCGCCAGUUCCUUUUAAGUCUCAACAACAGUGUCCCUUUCAAUCUUGAACAGAGGAAAGACCGAGACUGACGGAUGGACCCGCAAUCUUUUCCCCGGAUCUCCCGAGGCAUACGCACUCGAGCGGCCUGCACCGCUUCAGAGCUCCCCCGCCGCGUGGCUCAACUUCUCCGACGCCCGCCGCUUCACCCAAUCGCCGGCCGGGACAGGAUAGAUUCUCACGCCCUCCUCCCCAAUCGCAGCGGAAGCCCCUCUGCAACCCUUUCUGCUGCGCCUCGUCUCGCUCGCGCCCUCGCCGGCCGCGCCUUGGUGCUCCGACACCGCUGUGGCAGAGCUUUGCCGCUUGCUGCAUCCAAACUACCUCGCAGCUCACGCCCGUCAUCAUCUCACUGGAUCCCCGACUGCAAGGCCCGAUGCCUUCCGACUUUUCCACCGCCUCUACACAGUCGCGCUCGCCUGCGCAGCCGCAGCCUGCCUAUCUUUUCACCGGUUGCAACCUCGCUUGUAGCGCCGUUCUCCCUGUCACACCCAUCAGAUCCGCCGCAUGACGACGCCCGCCUCCGCCAAACCUCAACUACCGGCAAAACCGCGCCUGCGCCGCCUUGUCUCCCGUGCCCAAUAGCCAAGGACCCUAUCUCCGAAAUCCUGUUCCGCCGCCCAUCGACGCCCAGUCGCCGCCAUGGCAGCGCACUCCAUCCUUUUCUUCCGGUCUUCGUGCUACUCCAACUCCCUCUCUCUUUCGCGCAGCUAUAAAAAGGAAUGCCAGAGCCCUACUGGAGAUCCCUUCACCAUCGUUGCCUCGCCGCCUUGUUCCUGAGCGCCGCCACCUAAGUUCUUGAGGAACUCUCAUCUUCGCUCAACACCCGCCCCUCCCAAUCCACCAAGCCGCCUGCUCCUCCACGCUAUGCUAGAGCUUCCUUGUUGCUCACAAGAAGCUCCGCCGCCGCCGGAGCACCGCCGGACAUAGCCGCCACCAAAGCCUUAGUGCUUAAGACCUUCCGCCCAAGUCUACUCCUUCCCGACCCCAAAGCUUCACCUAUAAACCAAAGGUAAGCUGCCGACCCCUUACCGGUUCGCCCGACCCUACCUGUUCGCCUGACCCUACCUGUUCGCCCGACCCCUCUUUCCAUCUCGCCCGACCCUGUCUGUUAGCCGGCCCUUAUCUUCUUCGCCCGAGGACUCGGCUGUACUCUUUUCCUUGACCCGAGGGUAUCUGUGUAAGAUUUCGGGGACUUCUCUGUAAUAGCUUUGAGGACCCCAAACACAUUAAGGCUUAUGGGUCAGAUCAUAAGUUCUUCCAAUUCGACCCUUGGUCUUGUUCUCUAUCCACUGAAGCUUGAACCCCCACACUCUUUCCGUAGCUUUGCUACAAGUUUCUGGGCUAAGACUUGCGAGUGUUGCUGUUGAAAUAACCGUCUAGACACUAACUCCAGCAUUGCAUUCGUGUAGAGUUUCAUCUUGCUGACGGCGUCUACGAACUACACCCGGUGCCAGAAGACGGAGCUGUAGCUGAGCUACCAGUUCCAGAAGCCGAAGUCGCACCAGCUGAAGACCCGCUUCCCUCCCCUCCACUUGAAGGCAAGUCCCGGAGCAUGAACCCCAAAGUUUCCCAAACUUGCGCAUGCCUUCUUUCUCAUGUUUGUGCAUUUACGUAUAGGAGUUGUUUGCAACCUUAGAUGCAUGGUAUAGUUCCUUGAUCGGAACACUAGUUGUUGAAUCGAGUAGUUGCUAUGCUUAAAUAGGAAGUGGUAAAAGUCGAGUGAUUUCCUGUCACUCGCGAGUUAUAGGAGUUGGUUGUUCUCCUUCUGUUACAACUAUAAGGACGAUGGAUGGGGCAAGGUUUUGGUUAACUCUUUUGCUAGUCGGCUGAUCCCCCCGUCUGUCUAUGGAAUCUGUUAAGGCCCGAUAGUGGUGGUGUUCGUGAUCAAGUGUUUGAAAGUACUAAUCUCAUACCUAGUAUGGGAUGGGGAAGCCUAGUACCUGAUUGAACUAGGGCGUGGCUUAUACCCCUGCUGUCCCUGGAACGAGGUUCCCAUGGUGCAUCAUGUGGGUGCAAGUGCGGUCACAGUACGGUAGAGGCCGGGAUUGUGGAGCAUUGCAUGCCAAGGGAAGUUGGACCUGACACGUGCCUGGGAAUUGAUGGGGACGGCUGACACAGGAAGCGACCCUUGUGGUGCGCGGAUGUCGUGAGAUUAGGUUUGCCAUGCAUGGUUAAGAAACUCGAAGGAUUCGUCUGCCUCUCACAGUUUGAGACUGCUUGAUCGCUAUGCUACACUGAUUAAUGAAAGAGUCUGAUGAUGACAUGGUCUUGAUGAGUAGCUUAUAUACAUAAAGUUGGAUCUAUGUUUGCUUAGAGUAAGAUGCCAACGUAGACUGGUUAAUGAACUUAGAAUUUGAGCUAAAACUUGAAAGCAAGGACCUAACGUAGUAGCUUUUGGCAAACAAAACCCCUCAGCCAAAGAGCCUUGCAUGUCUAGACGUGGUGGAGUAGUUUUACCACCGGUCGGUUAAGUCUUGCUGAGCGUAGCAGCUCAACCUUGUUUGUGGCUUUCUUUUCAGGUGAAGUCGCAGCUCCUGAGUUUGCUUCCGUUGGCACUUGGCCGCCCCAGCUCCCUCCGGGUUGGACGGUUGAGUGGGAUCCUUCCUCGGACGGUGAGGAGAGGGAUCAUUGAUGUCCUGAUCGGCCUCAUUAGGGACAUCCGACCCUGGCGCUAGCUUCCGCUAAUUUAGCUUUCCGCUGCUUUUGAAUCUUGUAAAACUCUGAUUUUUGUUUUUAUGUUGAACUAAAUUGUCAAACUUGUUUAACUCAGUGGAUCUGUUGUAUUCUCUGAAACCGCUCACCUUCGUGUGAGUUUCGCUAAUCCGGUCCUGUAAGUGGUUUAAUCGGAGGAAAUCCGACGGCCCUUCGAGUUAACUUGACUAAGGCAUAAGUGUCGCGUGUCAGGCGACUUAACAAUGCUUUAAUCAAGGUAAUCCGAGGUGGUUCCACCACAAAUGGUCAGGCCAAGUCAUCAAAUAAGGGGGUUAUUAAACUGAUUAAAAGGAAGGUCAAAAAACAACCAAGACGGUGGCAUACAACGCCGAAUGAGUCCUUAUGGGCUUAUCGGAUGGCUUGCCGCGGUGCCACCAAGGUGUCCCCUUAUCAGUUAGUAUAUGUGCAUGAAGCAGUAUUACCUUGGGAGUUGAAGACUGGGUCUAGACGUGUGUCACUUCAGAAUCAGUUGUCGGUUGAUGACUAUUCCGCCCUCAUGAGGGGAGAAUUGGAAGAUUUGGCGAAUCAACAGCUAAGGGCUUUGAUCAGCAUUGAGGAAAAUAAGAAAAGAGUCACCAGGUGGUAUGACAAGAAGGUCAAGGUCAAAAGGUUUUCCCAAGGGGAUUUAGUCUGGAAGUUGGUUCUGCUGAUAGUAUGGAAAAUGGUCGCCCACUUGGGAAAGGCCAUAACGGAUUAGCCAAUGUGCUCUAGGCAAUGCAUACAUACUGGAGACUUUUGAGGAAGAAGAAUUUACAAGGGCCUUGAAUGGAAGAUAUUUGAAAAGAUACUACCCUAGUAUAUGUGUAGGCGCUUAGCCGAUGAUGUGGCAUAACGGGCUUUCACGGUCGACGCGUACUGAUUCGUGUUCAUAUAGCCGAUGCAAGGGGCAUCGCCUUAAGAUUGAAAGAGGCGAAAUAGUGUAUAUAUAACUAAACCGAUCAUUAUUCGGUACACCAACUAAAUAUAUGGCCGGCAUGAUACAAGUCGCCCUUAGAUAAAAAGUACCGACACAGUUAUGGGUUACAACGAUUUAACAACGUUUCAUGUGAGCUUUAUUCAUAUCGAUUUCUUUCUGAAGUCGAUCCAAUUCGAUCUGGAGUCGGGCGUUCUUCUCCUCUAGUUCUGCCAUGUCAUCUUCAACAGCAACUUGACAGGGUAACAGAUGGCUUCUUUCGACUGAUUGCCGUGGUUGCCUUCUAGAAGCUUUAGCCUCGAUGUCAUCCACAAUCCUCUUGAUAUUCACGGGGAGGUGAUCUCUGAGUUCCUCACGAUGAGUUUGGAUCAGGUCUUUGUCAGCCUGAGUGAGCGGUUCAUCGGAGUGGAGGAUCUCAAUGGCUCGUUCAAGAUCACGGCUGAGUCGGUUUGGCUACGAGAAGAAUUGAUGAUCAAUUGACAGAGGGAUUGGUCGAGAGAUAGGAGAUUGACUUCGUACCUGAUUGACAGAGGAGGAGGAGGCCAUCUUGGUCGCUCGAUCGAAGAUUUGUAAGCGCGCGCAAGGAAUGGUUGAGUGGGUGUUUUGCGAAUGCCUUCAGAAGGGAUGCGAAGGGUUUGUACUUAUAGAACAGAAUGGCAAUGGACAAAGGUCGGUAAAAGGAGGGCAUUUAAAGAAAGCGACCGUUGAGUCAUAAAAGCUACGUGAGGACUGUUCAGACUUGCAUUUCAGACAAAAACGCCAAAAGUAUCAACGUUACACAAGAUGUUCAAAGGCUGGUUGAGUUCGUUACAACUAUCCGAGGAGAUUGUUUAUGGUCUCAAUCGCUCGCAGGCGAACUUGGUUGGCCACCUCCAACACUCGCCGAUCAUCAUCGGCUGAUCCUAAGACUUCUGGCGCAUUGCGAUGAAGAUGGAUGGCCUCGUGAGUGAGGGAUUGUCUUUCUUGUUUAAAAUCAACGAUGGCGGUUGGAAGAUCUUCAAGUUUCUUUUCUUCGGUAGCGAUAGCCUUUACGACCAGUUCCAUCUCCUUGGUGAGCUCUGCUCUGCGCCAUUUGAGUUGGUCUAUUUCACUGAUGAUGCUUGGAUGAGAAGUCUCAUGGAGACCGAUCUACCGAUGUACGUGUUGUGCACGGUGCUUGUAGGACUCUUCUUCUUGACGCACCAUCUCCAAUUUAGCACGGUCAGCCAUGUGUCGCAAGGCUCUAAACACCGGGACCCGCAUGGUUUCGAUAUAUGCUGCGGGUGUGAGAACCUCUUCUGCGUCUUCUGGGACUUGGCCUUUGAUCUCGUUGAAAAUCCACCGUAUCAGUUUGGCAUCUUCCACCAAUCGACCGAUGUUUUCCUGAAGAAGGGUUCGCAUGUUUUGGAGCUUGGCACGGACAUCUUCUGGUAUUGAGCUCAGAGUUAUUUGGCGUGAUGCAACUUCUUCGUCAUCAGAGACCGCAAUUGCAGAGGAGAAGAGGCUUUUGUUUGGCGUGUCUUACUCCUGCAGGGAUGUGGGAAAGUGUUUUAGCCGAUAAAAGUAAAAAAUCGGCUGGUAGAUAUAGAAGGUUCUUACCUCCUUCAAACAAAUCUCUUCUGCUUGGGUUGGCAGAGUCGUUACUCCCACCUCAGAAGUUUGCGGAGGUAGCUCAUUAGAGGGGGAAGACUUGACAAUGAUCGGCUCUCUAGGCGUAGCUGAUAAUGUGCUUGGACCAGCCUCCUGGAAAAGGAACAAAGGAAUCAUUUUUGAGUAUAAAAUAAUACUGGAUCUAAGUAGAAGUCUCGGUUUUCUUACCUCUCGGACGCGCGCAGCCAACGGUAGCACCAGGGGAAUGACUGACGUAUCUGGAGCGUCCUGUGUCAAGAAUCGUCUGAUUUUAGUUAUCAGAACUGUGGAGACUAAGGGAAGAGCAUGUUCUUUACCUCAAUUUGAAGAUUUGUAGGUAACACAAUUUUAGCUUGAGAAUCGGCCAAUUAAGGAACAGUCUGCUCUAGGAUAGGUUGUACGGCCUGUUGAAAAGAAACAAAUUUAGUAUUGGUGAUACAUAUGAAGAAGUCAGAGCAGAAAGAUUACUCGUGUAGCUUUCACCAAGAGUAACACAAUCGCCGACCCAGCCUCUGAUGCUGCUAGGGGAUCAAUGUCCUGAAUUGCCGACAAUACAUCUGCUUGGAUUGGUGCGGCUGAGGGCUCGACCGAUGUUGCUGCCGAUUGGUGGGUUGUUCGAGUUGUCGUAGAUUCAGUACGAGCUCAUACCCUGCGACUCGUCUUCUUUGUGGUGGAUAUUUUGAGCUUAUGCUUCAAUCGGUUGGUGGCUAUGUCCUCCAUUGAUGGGGCGUGAUAGCCGAUGAGAGGGUACGGUGUGUACGGAUGAUGGGUCUGUAUCAGUCUGCCACUCUAACUGUGCGUUGGAGGCACUUGGCUAUCAACCUGUGCAGGGUAAAAGGAUAAUGAUAAGAAAGUUCUGCAACAUGUGAAAAUUAUUGGUAAGGAAUCGACAAAAAAGUAUUGUUACCUCUGCAUUCGGAUCAGUGUGAGCGGGGUCCAGUUGAUUGCAAUACACUGCAGGGGCCGCACAGGAAAGGUACUGUUUCCACUCGGCCCACCACAAUUUGAAUUGUUGAGUGGAGAAGGGGACCACCAGCCAAGCGCUCAGAUCGAUGGUGUCGGAAUCCGGUGUCAGAUUACACAAUCUGUUGUAUUCCAGUCCUUUUGAAAUCGGUUCUCAAAAUUUCACUCGGCCGACGAAGUGAAUCCGAUUGGUAUUUGUCCCAAGCCAAAUUGCCGAGCUGCUACCGACGGGUUAUAGAACUCAUAUGUUGGAGAGUCCUUGCCAGAGAAGAAAUUUGCCGGUAGAAUCCCAGGUUGAUCAGGGUGUCCAUGAUUCCUUCAUCGAAGGUAUCGGUAGCCUAGUCAAAACAGUCAGGAUUCUAAAAAGUUGGGUUCUCUCUCUGAUAUGGAUACCAAUUCGUCACCUCUUCUUUAAAGCUGUUGUAAAAGCAUCUAAAGUGCUCGGCUAUUCUUGAGGGGGCAAGCUUGCCGCCUGGGAAAGUGGAUACGGCUUCACUAAAGGAAGUACAGCGGCGUCUGGCCAAUGGGUCGGUUUCUGAUUUAACAUUAGGAAAGUCUUGGUCUCAAUCCGCUCCUUGAAGAUUUCGCUCAUAUAUAAGUUGAGCUAGAGAUUGACAAACCACCAAGGACCACCAGGAUUCCUGAUAGGUUCUCCAGAUGAUAGCUUCACGCCGAUGUGAUGCAGCAUGUAAUACACUGACCCUAGUAGAUGCUUUCCCAAAGGGACUGUGGCUCCUCUAACUAGUGCUUCGGCCAAAGCCUGUGUGUUGGAAGUAGGACUGGCUAAUUUACCACAGAAGACAUACCUUUCCUGCCACAUCAUCAAGAAGGUCGUGUGCUCUUUUUCUGUGUUGGGUCCGGUCCUCAUGUUCUUCUCAAUGUAGCCUUUCCAUGUGCUGAUGGCUUUCGUCUCCAGCCGAUGGGUGGGUUUGAUUAAGAAAUCGAAAGGUGAGUCGGUGGAGGAAACAUCGAGGCCAGUCAGCAUCAGAACAUCGGCCAGGGUUGGAGUCAUUGGCCCAUGGUCGAAAAGAAAUGCAUUGAGAGCAUCGGACCAAAAGUAAGAUGCCGCGAUGAGCAGAGAUUCUUUCUUUUCCAUAUGAGAUAGAGAUAAAUUUCUGCAAUGGCCGAUUUUUCGCUCAUCCCAGAAGACUCUGUUGGAAUUUGACAUUCUAAAAAACCAAUCUCUCCAUCCGGGGGUUUGAUUCGGCCAAGACUUGAAAGUGUUCGCCCAAUUGUCUAGUUCCAUGGUCGAUUGCUUAAAAGGGAUCCUGUGAGUUUCUAGUUUAAUCAGAUCGGUUGGGUUAGGAUCUCCCAUAGAGCCAAGAUCGAUGAAUCCAGGGGUGUUGGCCAUGGGAUGGUGAUUCUUUGCCUGAGUUCUUGAGCAAAUGCGAAGAAAGACUAAGAACAGAUCUAAAAUCGCGAAAAGAUGAGGAGAGCCUAGAAGACUUACCUCAGGAACGAAGGUCAUGGUAGCUAUGGGUGCCACCAUUGGAGCUUGGGAGUUGGUGCGGUCGGUGAAGGACGUGAGCAAGUCACUGGAGUGCGCUGGGAUGUGCCUAGAAGUGGCACGAGCAAGGUCGCUGGGGUGUGCCGGGAGAUGAUUCGCUGGAAAGGAAACCCUUUUCGCCCGGAGGAAGAUGAAGCGGCGGAAGAGAUGAGUAUCUGCACGAUGACUCGGGAGAAGGGUAAAUAUGAAAUUUUUACCACGCCGUCUGCGCUAAUUUCGAAAGGAGCGGUUGCCUACAGGUGCUCAGUUCGAAAAAAUGCAAUCAUCAAGGAGAAGAUUUCGGGAGCAAAGAGGGUUUUGCUGCAUUUAUUGUUGCGUCUUUUCUGAAAGAAGGAAUCAGAGUUGAGAAAAUUUCGGAGAAAAAGAUAUGUUUCACUAUGAAGCUGGGAGGCAUGUGUUGAUGCCAGUUUUUAACACGUGUCAGGGUCGGUGUCAAGAGGAGAAGAAAGUGGCCAAUGCGGUUAAACAAGAGGCCAUGGCUAGAGAAAUCGGUCAGUAAAGCUAUAGUGUUCUGACCGAUUAGCUGAUGAGAUAGAUGAAGACUCACCGAUUGGAAGCCAGAACGCUGGAUUUUGACACGUACUUGAAAUCGGUGUCAAAGAAGGAGAAAGGGGGGCCGAUGCGGCGGACUAGAAGCUACAGUUGGGAAUCGGCCGAUUGAAGCUACAAUGUUUCAGCCGAUUGGCGGAAGAAAUUGGUGGAGGCUGGCCGAUUGGGAGUCAAAGCAGUUUGGCCGGUUUGGGCCUAAGGUGGGCCAGGAUGAAUAUUUGCUGAAGAGACAGGCCCGUGGGAAAAUAAUAACCAACUCGAAUACGAGUCGUGUUUGUAACUAUUUGUUGUCGUUUGAAAUUAGAGAUAGAUUCUAGUCGGUUAGGAAAUCAGUUCCAACACGCUAUAACUAGCUACCUCGAGAGGCUUGUAAAAAAAACAACACAUCAAUCAAUACAAAAAAAAUUACUCUUUCCUCGUACUUUACUUUCAAGUCGGCGACUUCGCCAAAACCUUUUUCUUUCACGAGUUCGUACGGAUUGGCAGGGCUGGAUCUACAGGAUCUCCGGCCGAUUCUGUAAGUUCCACUUAUCGAGUAAUACUAAGCUUUAACUUCGGGCGCAUCGCUGUUAUUUUGUUUAGAUUUAUUCACCAGUUAUCGAUAUCAACUAGAGUCAUAGGUUUUACCUGUUAUUUUAGUUUUUAUCACCAAUUAUCCAUCUUGAGGUACGAACUGUCGGUUUUUAUUAUUCUUAUCCUUUAUCAUCACAUAGCCGAUUAGAUCUACUCCAAGUUUUGCUUCUGUAGUGUUGUUUAGGUUGCUGUAAAAGUUUUCCUUAUGAUUGCUACAUGAGUAUCGGCUGUCUUAUAGCCGGUCAUCUCUACGGUAAAUCGGCCGAUUCGCUGAUACGCUCUUCAAGACAGAUCGGAACUCUAGCCGAUCGAAACCCCUAGAAUUUAAUAUUCUUCUUUCCAUGUCAAUCAUUAGGUCAGAUUGACUGGCAUGCCGCGCGAACCGCACUAGGGCAAUAACUCGAACAGGAGCUAAGUAGAUUCUCCUGGGUCGUGUGUCCGACGCUGAGGGUCAUCGGCCAAUUUUCAGCACCAACACACUUUUGGCAUGCCCGGUGGGACCAAACAAGAUCCAACAUGUCGAAGGCUGCUGAGAUCUUUGAAGAUAACGUCCUUGAAGUCAUUGAAGAAAAUCUCAAGGACGAUCAGAAGGAGGAACUGGCGAGGGCUAUAGAAGAAUACAGGAAGACAUGCCUGCAAUCUUUCAUUCGUACCAGAAGCGGGGAGACAGUCAAGAAAGCUCCUCUCUCCACUUCCCGCCAAAUCACCGUCAUCGAGGACUCAGGGAAGAUGUCUGAGAUGAUUCAACAGUCCGUUUAUCAGGCUAUGAUUGACCAAUCCACGGUGAUGACCAACACUGUAUACAACGCCAUCAUCAGCUCCUUGGUUAGCGGCGUAGCUCAGGGGUAUCAGGGACUAGCGUAUGCUCCUCCCAUCGUGGCACCGAUCAGAGGCUUCUUAGCAGCGCCAAACGUGUGUCACUCGACUCCUCAACUAAUGCAGAUGCAACGUGGAGGGUACUACACUUCAAUGCCCCUGGGGUACAAUGGUGCAUCAUUCUAUCAAUCGCAAGAACCGUCUCAUCCUAUGCCAAUUUCAUCCAUACAAUCGCCGCUCUCAAACUCGGCGCCAUGGGGGGUAGCAGCAGCAACCGCCGGUCUGGAUCCGUCAACCAGUUAUGGAAAGUCUCCAGUCCAGGCGUUAUUCCAAUCGGCCGAGGCCGAUAGCCCCGCAAUACCAAACAACCACUUCAGAUAUCGGCAGGAGGACAGGCGCUCUAGAAACACUCAGGGUUGCGGCGUCGAUAAUAUUGUACGAUGAAGUGACAGAUACACUAUGUCAGCAGCCAUCGGCUACUCAGCCGACAACCCAGCCACAAUAUCUGCAGAACACUCCAGUUUAUCACCCGAUCAUGGAACCGCAAAUCCAACAGCACGUACCGAUUCCUCAGCCGGUCGUGCAUCAGCAGCAGGUUGAUUGGACCGCGAAGAUAGCAGAGGUAAUUCAAGAUCAGUUUGUGUUAAAAGCAAAAGUACAAACUUACAUGUACAAGACGCCAUACCCACUUGCCUACGAUCUGUUACCGUUCCCUCAUCGGUACAAAGUCCUUGACUUCACCAAGUUCUCGGGCCUAGACGACACGUUGACUGUCGAGCACGUUAAUAGGUUCAUCAUCCAGUGCAGGGAGGCUGCUACGCAAGAUGCUUUGAUGGUGCGCUUGUUCUCGUCAUCCCUAUCCGGAUCAGCCUUGCAGUGGUUCACUACACUGCCGCCCAACGCCAUCGUUACCUUGGCCGAUUUGGAAAAGCAAUUCCAUAAGUACUUCUAUGCGGGAAUCCACGAGAUGAAACUCUCAGACCUAACUAGCCUCAAGCAAAGAAGCGAUGAGUCGAUGGCCAGCUACAUACAGAGGUUUAGGAAAGUUAGGAACAAGUGCUACACCUUGGUCUGGACUGACACCCAACUAGCCGAUAUCACCUUCCAAGGACUCCUGCCACACAUCAAAGAGAAGUACGCCUCCCAGGAGUUCGAAAGCUUGAGCCAAAUCGUCCAUCGGCUGUCCGGCCAAGAGAUACACCCUUUCGACCAACGAAGGAACUUUCAAAAGAAGGUAGCUUAUGUGGAAGGGUCUGAAUCGGGAGAGAAGGCGGAAAUCGGCCUAGCAGAGUCGGUAAAAGGAAAAAAGCCGAUAUCAUGCCCGUUUGGAAAAAAGGAACCAGAAACAUUCGGCUUUGACACGUCAAAAGCCGACAAAGUCUUCGACUUGCUGCUUCAAGAGGGGCAGAUCAAACUUUCGCCUUACCACACCAUUCCGUCGGCCAAGCAGCUCAAAAAGAUGAAAUACUGCAAAUGGCACAAUACCACAUCCCAAGACAAAAAUGAGUGCAAGAUCUUCCGACAAUAGAUACAAUUAGCCAUUGAGCAAGGAAGACUCAAGUUCGAGGUUCCAGCAAAACCAGUGAAGCCGAUGAAGAUUGAUCAACAUCCCUUCCCCGCCAACAUGGUCAAUGUAGGAAGAAACGCACUCCAAACCAAAGUUUUGAUGUUAGAAUUGGCCAGGAGAAGCGGUGCAGUGGAUCCCAAAAAUCAGGCCACGAUCGGAGAUGUCAAAGGAAAAGGACGGAUGGAAGAAGAAGGUGAAGGAUCAGAAAGGCCACGUCGGCCUGUCACUUCCCAAGACUUACUCAGCAAGUAUCAGCAGCAGCGGGAAGAUUCAAGACGCCACGAAGAGAUGAUGCGCCGACACGAAGAUCACUGGAGGUGCCCGUUUUUCAUCCACUGCUGGGAGAAUAACCUUAGAUUACCGUCGGCUGAUAAUUGCCCUGAGUGCAACGGCCAGUAUCGCAGUGGUCGUCCGUUCAAUAGAUCACGCUCCAAGGAUCGAGGGCUAGAGCCAAUCAGCAGAAAGAGGCACGAGCAAGGAGAUCGGCGCGUUUCAGUGCGUGAUCGGCUGGGGGGUAGAGUUGACCAGCAUAAUCGGCUGGGGGGCAGAACCAGCGCACAUGAUCGGCUGGGGGGUAGAACCAGCGCACAUGAUCGGCUGGAAGAGAUAGCUGACGCCAAAGUCUCAGAUGAGAACCUCCUAGGGUGAGAAUCAGGCUGGGAGCGUGCAAAGCCGCCGAGUAAACCAGUAAACCCCAGAUGGUGCCCAGCCGGUUUGACUAAGUCCUUGAAACGGAGGGUCCAGCGUUUGCACCAAUGGGAGCAGCAAGAAGAAAAACAAAGGUAGGUGAUGGAUAACAAAGGGGACAGGUCUCGAGUAUGGCGUCCUAGAAGAAAAUCCGACGCAGGAGACUAAAAUCAUGAUUCGACAGCUGACUUCAGCAUGAUGUUCAUCUUGCCGAUGGAGUUCAUGCCUCCCGCCGACCGGGACAAUGCGAUAGAGAUAGAGGAGCAAAUGGCACAAUUGGCUCUGGAGCCAAUGACCGCCACUUUUGAGAAACCCGAGGAUUAAAAACGCCAACAUCUCAAGGCCCUGUUCCUCAAAGGACAUGUCAACGGACGACCAGUCACCAAGCUGUUGGUAGAUGGAGGCGCUGCUGUGAACAUCAUGCCCUAUGCUAUGUUCCGCAAAUUGGGCAAAGGUAAAGAAGAUCUAACAAAGACGGAUAUAAUGCUCAAGGAUUUCGAAGGCAACGUAUCUCCGGCCCGAGGGGCACUCUGCGUCGACCUCACCAUCGGGAGUAAGGCCCUACCCACUAUUUUCUUUGUUAUUAAUGGCAAAGGCUCCUACAACAUGUUGCUCGAGCGAGAUUGGAUCCACGCAAACUGCUGCAUCCUGUCUACGAUGCACCAAUGCCUUGUCCAAUGUGUCGGCGACAACAUCGAAGUAGUCAUCGCCGAUUCCACCUAUAGCGUUGCCACGGCCGACGCACAACAGUGGAGCUACGAUCACGUCAAAUUCAAAUAUGGUAGGGUUUGGGACACCAAUUUCCUAAAGGUGUCCGAUUUCGGUCUACAGCCAAUCCAAGCAGUCAGCUCUAAAGAAUCAAGUUAAAAUGGAUCAGUUCAUCUGAGAAGAUGGGAAGCUCGGGCACGGGUUUACGUCGGCCGAUUCAUUGGAGAUGGUGGACCUUGGAGAUGGCAACAAGCCAAAGCCGACGUAUAUUCGUGCUAGGUUAGAACCCGAGUAUAAGCAUGAAUUAAUGAGUCUUUUACGAGAAUUUAAAGAUUGCUUUGCUUGGGAGUAUCAUGAGAUGCCUGGUCUAGACCGGUCCAUCGUCGAACACCGGUUGCCUAUAAAACCAGGGCAUUGGCCGCAUCAGCAACCUGCACGACGUUGUAAUCCUAAAAUUUUACCUGAUAUAAAGGCCGAGAUUACAAGAUUAAUUGAAGCAGGGUUUAUUCGGCAAUGUCGCUAUGCCGAGUGGAUUUCCAAUAUUGUGCCCGUAUACAAGAAAAAUGGAAAGUUACGUGUGUGCAUUGACUUCAGGAAUGUUAAUCAGGCUAUGUCGAUGGAUGGAUAUCCGAUGCCGAUGGCUGAUGUUUUAAUAGACGCCACCGCAGGACACAAAGUCAUCACCUUCAUGGAUGGUAAUGCUGGGUACAAUCAGAUAUUAAUAGUCGAAUAAGAUAUUUCAAAGACGGCUUUCAGAUGCCCAGGCCACCUCGGUUUGUUCGAGUGGGUAGUAAUGAGUUUCGGUUUAAAAAAUGCUGGAGCUACGUACCAACGGGCUAUGAAUUAUAUAUUCCACAAGCUUAUUUGUGUCCUGGUGGAGAUCUACAUUGACGAUGUCGUGGUCAAAUCAAAAGGGUAUCAGGAACACCUGGCCGAUUUGCGAAAAGUGUUGGAAUGCACAAGAAAGCAUGGGUUGAAGAUGAAUCCAAACAAAGUGUGCCUUCGGCGUUUCGGCUGGACAGUUUCUGGGAUUCAUGAUUCACGAGCGAGGCAUCGAGAUCAAGCGAAAAAUUAUAGUUGCUAUCAACAAAGUCGUGGGCCCCCAGAAUAAGACUGAGCUACAGUACUUAAUCAGCAAGGUUAACUUCAUCCGACGGUUCAUAUCUAACUUGUUCGGGCGUAUUCAAGCUUUCACCCCUUUGUUGAAAUUAAAACCCGAUCAAGAAUUUGUAUAGGGUAAGGAAUAGCAGAAAACAUUAGAUGGCAUCAAACAAUACCUAGUCUCGCCACCAGUAUUGGUUCCGCCGCAGGCCAACAAGCCAUUCAAAUUAUACCUAUUGGCUGAUGAACGAGCUAUUGGGUUGGCGCUGGUCCAGGAAUGUGAAGGAAAAUAAAGAGUAAUCUAUUAUGUCAACAGAAGACUCCUGAACGUUGAAACUAGAUAUCCUCCGGUGGAACGGCUGUGCCUUUGUCUAUAUUUUUCAUGCACCAAACUCAGGCACUAUCUGUUAUCGGCAGAGUGCAUAGUCGUUUGCAAAGAUGAUGUGGUCAAGUACAUGUUGUCAUUGCCGAUUUUGAAAGGGAGGAUUGGAAAGUGGAUUCUAGCUCUCUCAGAGUUCGACCUGAGGUACGAAUCGGCCAAAGCUGUCAAGGGGCAAGUAAUGGCCGAUUUCGUGAUCCAGCACUGUGGACCAGAAAUUACUGUCGAACCAGCUCCGUGGACACUAUACUUUGAUGGGUCUGCGUGUGGGGCCGGAUCGGGAAUCGGCAUCAUCCUCAUAUCGUCUCGAGGGGCAAGUUAUGAUUUCUCUCUGCCGUUUGAGGCGUCCGCUACUAAUAAUCAAGCGGAGUAUCGGGUUGUUCUAAAAGGUAUCCAAUUAUUAAGAGAGGUCAAAGCUGACGUGAUGGAAAUUUUUGAGGAUUCCAUGCUCAUUGUAGAUCAAUUAACUGGAAAGUCUGAAUGCAAGGAUGAUAUCUUGAGGAUUUACUACGAAGAUUGCCUCAAGUUAUUGAAGGAGUUCAAGUCUUUGAUUAUUGAGCAUAUUCCCAGGAAUUACAACGAAGAAGCCAAUAGACUUGCCCAACAUCCUUCCGGGUAUCGGCUGUGUUGACGCCAGAUUUUGACACGAGUAAAAUCGGCGUUAGAAGUGGAAGAAAUUAGGAGAUGCGGCGAGAUACAAGGGCAACGAUUGGAAAUCGGCCGAUUGGUGCUACAGUCAAGGAUCGGUUGGUUGGUGCUGCAGUCAAGGAUCGGCCAAUAGAUGCUACAGACGAGGAUCGGCCGAUUGAUCCUUAGAGUUCCGCCUCGCACGACCCCUGGUUUGGGAUCGGACACGCCCGACCCUCCAAGGGAGGAUCUCCGCCUCGCCCGACCCCUGGUUUGGGAUCGGACGCGCCCGACCCUCCAAGGGAGGAUCUCCGCCUCGCCCGACCCCUGAGGUUUGGGAUCGAACGCGCCCGACCCUCCAAAGGAGGAUCUCCGCCUCGUCCGACCUUAGUUCCCAGGGUCGAAAUGAGUCUGAGCCCUCGAUAUGUGGGUCCUGAUCGGUUACCCCCCUUGCCAAAGAGGUGAUCGGCCGAUUAGGAGGUUGGAAUAGUUGGGCCGAUGUGGGCUCAAGAAGGAUUAUGAAGAUGAAGAGGGGGUCAGCCCAUGAAGCGCGUGAAAAUAGUACGAAUCGUACUUGUAAAUAUUCGUUUUCUGUUUAAAUUUAGGGAUAGAGUUCUAGUCGGAUAAGAAGUCGUUUGUACGGGGCUAUAAAUAGCCACCGUUGUAGAUCUGUAAUCAUCAUCAACUCAAUACAACAAACUACUAUUUCCUCGUACUUACUUUCAAGCAGGCGACUUUACCAACACUUUUUCUCCUUUUUCACGAGUUCGUACGGGUUGGCGGGGCUGCAUCAACUUGACCUCCGGCCGAUCUUGUAAGUUCCGUUUAUCGACUAAAUUCUAAGCUUUAACUUCGGGCGCAUCGCUGUCAUUUCGUUUAGAUUUAUUCAUCAGUUAUCGAUAUUUACUAGAAUUCUAGGUUUUACCUGUUGUUCUAGUUUUAUCACCAAUUAUCCAGCUAGGAAUCGGUAAAUUCGGCUUUCUUUAUACUUCUCUGUCUAAUCUAUUUAUUUUAGCCGAUUAGAUCUGUUCCUAGUGUUGCUACUGUAGCGUUGUUUAGAUUACUCUAGCAGUUUUCUUUAUAAACGUUACCUGGUAAUCGGUUGCACUAUAGCCGAUUUCCUUAUUACGGCAAAUCGGCCGAUUCGCUGAUAAGCUUUCUUGAGAUCGGAACCUUAGCUGAUCGCAACCUCUGGGAACUGACACGUUUAUUUCCUUGCCAAUCAACAGUUCAGAUUGGCUGGCUCGCCGCGCGAACCGUACCAGGGCAAUCACCCGAACAGGAGUUAAGCAGAUUCUCCCGGGUCGUGUGUCCGACGCUGGGAAUUCGGUCAGCUGAUUUCUAGUGCCAACACACUUUUGGCACGCCUAGUGGGGCCAAUACAACCGCCACCAUGUCGAAAGCUGCUGAAGUCUCCGAAGAUAACAUCAUCGAAGUGACAGAGGCAGAUCUCAGGGACGACCAGAAGGAAGAACUAGAGAGGCAGACAGCAUACUACCGGAAGACAUGUCUGCAGUCCUUCAGUCGCACCAGGAGCGAGGAGACUAUCAAAAAGGCUCCGUUUCCAACUCCCCGCCAGAUCACAAUCACCGAGGAUUCGGACAAGAUGUCCGAGAUGGUCCAGCAAUCCGUCUAUCAAGCUUUCAUUGAUCAAUCCCCGGUGCUUUCUAAUACGGUAUACAAUGCCGUCAUCAGCUCCUUGGCUAGUGGUGUAUCUCAAGGGUACCAGGGGCCGGCAUAUGUUCCGCUGAUUAUGGCUCCGAGCAAUGCGGCGACAUGAAGAUCACUGGCGAUGCCCGUUCUUCAUCCACUGUUGGGAAAGCAACCUUAGGUUGCCUUCGGCCGAUAAUUGCCCCGAGUGCAACGGCCCGUAUCGUAACAAUCGGCCGUUCAGCAGGUCUCGCUCCAGAGAUGGGAGAUCAGAGCCGAUCAGCAGGAACUGGCGCGACCAAGACAACCGGCGCCCUCCAGUACGUGAUCGGCUGGGGGGCAGAAGUGACCGGUAUGACCGGUCGGAAGGCAGGCGCAAUGAUGGGCCGGGGGCAGAUUUAAUCGACGUGACCGGCCAGAAAAUAGAGUCAGCGUCCACAGACGACUUGAAUAGAUGGCCGAUGCUCGGGUGUUAGAUGAGAACCCUUUAGGACGCGAACUAGAAUGGGAACGCGCCAGGCCACGAACCAAACCGGUGAACCCCAGGUGGUGCCCCGAUGGAUUGACCAAGUCUCAAAAACGAAGAAUCCAACGUCUCCGCCAGUGGGAACAGCAGGAAGAAGAGCAACAGUACACGACGGACGAGAAGAAAGGCAGGUCUUAGGUAUGGCGCCCCAAAAGAAACGACAGAGGAGGCGACAAAUCAGCAGGCGAUGAAUCGGCAGCCGAUAUCGACAUGGUCUUCAUACUGCCGAUGGAAUUCAUGACUCCUGCCGACCAACAGGACAUGUCAGCAAUAGAAGAGUAGAUGGCGCAAUUGGCUUUGGAGCCAAUGACAGCCACAUUCGAGAAGCCCGAAGAAGACAAACGGCAACACCUGAAAGCGUUGUUUCUUAAAGGGCAUGUCAACGGCCGACCCAUCACCAGAUUACUGGUAGACAGAGGGGCUGCAGUCAACAUCAUGCCGUACGCCAUGUUCCGGAAGCUAGGGAAGAGCAAUGAUGACCUGACCAAGACAGACAUGAUGCUCAAGGACUUCGAGGGCAACGUAUCCCCCGCUCACGGCGCUCUCUGCGUCGACCUCACCAUCGGCAGUAAGACCCUUCCUACUACUUUCUUUAUUAUUAAUGGCAAGGGGUCCUACAACAUGCUACUCGGCCGAGACUGGAUACAUGCAAAUUGCUGUAUCCCAUCUACAAUGCAUCAAUGCCUCGUAUAGUGGGUCGGCGACAACAUUGAGGUGGUCACCGCCGAUUCCGCAUACAGCAUCGCGGCAGCCGACACGCAACAGUGGAGCUGCGAAACCGUCAAGUGCAUAUCCGGGAGAGUAUGGGAUACUGACUUCUUGAAGGUGUCCGAUUUUGGCCUACAGCCGAUCCGAGCAGUCGGCUCUGAGGACUCAGAUUAAAUGGAUCAGUUCACCCGAGAAGAUGGGAAGCUGGGACAUGGGUUCACGUCGGCCGAUUCAUUAGAAAUGAUAGACUUAGGCGAUGGCACCAUACCAAGGCCGACAUAUAUUAGUGCAAAUUUAGAUCCGGAAUACAAAUGUAAACUGACAAGUUUGUUAAGAGAACUUAAGGAUUGCUUUGCUUGGGAAUAUCAUGAGAUGCCCGGAUUAGACCGAUCUAUCGUUGAACAUCGGUUACCCAUAAAGCCAGGGUAUCGGCCGUAUCAACAGCCUGCACGGCGGUGCAAUCCUAAAAUCCUACCGGACAUAAAGGCCAAAAUAACGCGGCUAAUCAAAGCAAAAUUUAUUCGGCAAUGCCGUUAUGCCGAAUGGAUCUCCAACAUUGUACCAGUAUAUAAGAAGAACGGAAAGUUACGCGUAUGCGUCGAUUUCAGGAACCUCAAUCAGGCCACACCAAUGGACGGAUACCCCAUGCCGACGGCUGAUGUACUGAUAGAUGCCGCCGCGGGACACAAGGUUAUUAGUUUCAUGGAUGGAAACGCUGGGUACAAUCAGAUACUUAUGGCCGAAGAAGACAUAUCUAAAACGGCCUUCAGAUGCCCGGGUCACCUUGGUUUAUUCGAGUGGGUGGUAAUGACUUUCGGCUUGAAAAAUGUCGGCGCUACGUAUCAGAGAGUCAUGAACUACAUAUUCCACAAACUUAUCGGCAUACUAGUAGAAAUCUACAUCGACGACGUCGUAGUCAAGUCAAAAGGACACCAGGAGCAUCUGGCCGAUUUACGACAGGUGUUGGAAUGCACUAAGAAACAUGGGCUGAAGAUGAACCCGAAUAAGUGUGCCUUCGGCGUAUCCGCCGGACAAUUCUUAGGAUUCAUGGUGCACGAGCGGGGAAUAGAAAUCAAUCAGAAGACUAUAGCGGCCAUCAACAAAAUUGUGGCCCCGCAGAAUAAAACUGAGCUGCAAUCUCUAAUCGACAAGAUGAAUUUCAUCAGGAGGUUCAUAUCUAAUUUGUCUGGGCGAAUCCAAGCCUUCACACCAUUAUUAAAGUUGAAGCCCGACCAGGAGUUCGUAUGGGGGGAAGAGCAACGCAAGGCAUUGGAAGAUAUCAAGCAGUACUUGGUCUCACCACCGGUAUUGGUCCCUCCUCAAACUGGUAAGCCGUUUAAACUAUAUUUAUCAGCCGAUGAACGAGCUAUUGGGUCGGCUCUGGUCCAGGAGUUCGAGGGAAAGGAACGAGUAAUUUAUUAUGUCAGUAGAAGACUUCUGGACGCCGAAACAAGGUAUCCUCCAGUGGAGCGGUUGUGCCUAUGCCUUUACUUCUCAUGUACCAAACUCAGGCACUAUUUGCUAUCAGCGGAAUGUGUGGUCGUAUGCAAGGACGACGUGGUAAAAUACAUGCUGUCACUGCCGAUUUUGAAAGGAUGGAUCGAAAAAUGGAUCUUGGCUUUGUCGGAGUUUGACCUUCGAUAUGAAUCGGCAAAAGCCGUUAAGGGUCAGGUCAUGGCCGAUUUCGUUGCCCAGCACUGCGGGCCAGAGGCUACCUUCGUAGAACCAGUACCUUGGACCUUAUACUUUGAUGGAUCGUCAUGUGGGGCCGGAUCAGGAAUCGGCAUCGUCCUCAUAUCGCCUCGGGGGGCAAGCUAUGAUUUCUCUCUACCGAUAGAAGCAUCCACCACUAACAAUCAAGCAGAGUACUGAGCUGUACUGAAGGGAUUACAAUUGCUAAGGGAAGUCAAAGCUGAUUCCGUCGAAAUUUUUGGGGAUUCCAUGCUUAUCGUGGAUCAGUUAACAGGGAAAUCCGAGUGCAAGGACGAUGUAUUGAGGAUUUAUUACGAAGAUUGCCUCCUGCUUCUGAAAGAAUUCAAGUCGGCAGUUAUCGAGCACAUCCCAAGGAAUCACAACGAGGAUGCCAACAAGCUCGCCCAACACGCAUCUGGGUAUCGGCCGAUUCAAGGCGCCUUGGCUCUAGAGCUCGCGGCCAAUGACUGGCGAAAGGAGAUUGCCGAUUACCUGAAAGAUCCGUCUAAGAAAGUGGAUCGGCGGGUAUGUUUUCAUGCUACCAAAUAUGUGCUACUGGAAGACGACUUGUUCUACCGAACAAUUGAUGGCGUCCUACUCAAGUGUCUAGGAACGGAGGAGGCUAAGACUCUGAUGGGAGAAAUCCAUGAAGGAGUGUGUGGAGCCCACCAAUCGGCACAUAAGAUGAAAUGGAUGAUUAGGAAUAAUGGGUAUUACUGGCCGACGAUCCUCGAAGAUUGCUUCAAAUAUUAUAAAGGAUGUCAGGAUUGUCAGAAAUUCGGGAAUGUCCAACGUGCGCCCGCAUCGGCCAUGAAUCCCAUUAUCAAACCAUGGCCGUUCAGAGGUUGGGGGAUAGACCUCAUCGGCCAAAUUUAUCCUCCGUCAAGCAAAGGGCACAAGUUCAUUCUGGUGGCCACUGAUUAUUUCACCAAGUGGGUGGAGGCAAUUCCGUUAAGGGCCGUGACAUCGGCUGCUAUGGUUGACUUCGUAAGAGACCAUAUCGUCUACCGUUUCGGCAUCCCCCAGACUAUCACGACCGAUCAAGGGACAAUGUUUACAUCAGGAGAAUUCGAGGAGUUCACAGCCGACAUGGGAAUCAAAUUAUUAAACUCCUCUCCGUAUUAUGCCCAAGCUAAUGGCCAGGUCGAAUCUUCCAACAAGGGGAUAAUUAAGUUAAUCAAGAGGAAGAUAGAGGAGCAGCCGAAAAAGUGGCAUCUAUGUCUGACUGAAGCUCUAUGGGCAUACAGGAUGGCUUGCCAUGGGGCCACUAAGAUGUCCCCUUAUCAGUUGGUGUACGGUCACGAGGCAGUACUACCAUGGGAGUUGAGGGCAGGAUCGAGACGCACUUCGCUCCAGGACCAGUUAGCGGCCGACGACUACUCCUCACUCAUGAAAAGGGAACUUGAUGACUUGGCUGGCCAACGAUUGAGAGCUUUGAUAAGCAUCAAAGAAAACAAGAAGAAAGUGGCCAGGUGGUAUGAUAAGAAAGUCAAAGUCAAACAAUUCUCUCCGGGGGACCUGGUAUGGAAGUUAGUGUUGCCGAUCGGGUCGAAAGAUCCUAAAUUCGGUAAGUGGUCCCCUACGUGGGAAGAGCCGUAUAAAAUCGGCAGAUGUGCUCCAGGAAACGCUUAUAUUCUGGAAACAAUCGAAGGAGAGAAGAGUUUACUAGGGCUUUGAACGGAAGAUACUUGAAAAGGUACUACCCUAGUAUAUGGGUCGGAGCAUAAGGAUCGACCAUGAUGAACAACACACAGCCAAUACAAAAGGAUUCGUCUAGAGAAAAAAACGUAAUCGUCCAAAUCGGCCGAUGUAUUUCAUUCGGUACGGACGGUGGGUUACACGGCCGACAAGGUACAAGUUGCCCUUAGAACAAAAAAAAAUUAAUCACGCUUUUUCUUAAGCUCUCUCUCAGCCCGACCUAGUUCUAUCAGAAGACGGAUGUACUCUUCUUUUAUCUCUUUCAUCGAAGCCUCCGCUUCGACUUGACGGGGGAGAGGGUGACUCCGGUCCAUGGCCGGGCGUGAUGUUCCUACUGCUGCAUCUUCAAGGACGAUUUGAUGAGGAAGCGGAUGACUUCUGUCGGCUUGAGGUCGCCGGUGGUCGUUGCUGUCCAGAAAGUCCCAGAUCCAUCGGAUGUCGGCAGGGACGUGCUCUUGGAGUUCGUCGCGAUGAGCUCUGAUUAAAUCCUUAUCUUCUUGCGACAACGGUUCAUCGGAGUGUACAAGUCCGAUGGCUCGUUCGAGUUCGGGGCUAAGGCGCCGUGGCUGCGGAAAGCAACAAUAUACAUAUAGCUGCCGAAAAGGUGAUUCCCUUCAGAAGAGCUAAACUAAGAAAGAGAAUGAAGGCAAAUCUUUUACCUGAUUAACGGAGGAAGAGGUAGAGGAUGGAGAAGACAUGACUGAAAGGCGCACCGACGUGAACAGGUCGAGGAAGAUGAAGCCGAGUUAGAAAGGUACUCUCGGAACGGUCACCUAGGCCGGUGUUUAUAGGAAAGGAAGGCAUGGAUGUUUGGUAAGACGCGUCCCAUCGGGAGUGUGAAAGGUAAUAAAUAAGGGGGCGUCGCGAAGGACGGUCAAAGGGAUCAUUAAAUGUUCGUACAAGAACUGCCAGCACUUUUACAGGUCACCCAGAAGGGCAUCGAUAGCUGCGAUCGCUCGACGCCGGAUCUGAUCGGCAGAGUCCAGGACCCGUUGGUCAUCCUCUGCCGAUCCGGGGACUUCUAACAUAUGGCGGUGGAGUUUGAGGGCCUCGUGAGCCAGAUGCUGCCUCUCUCGUUUCAGAUCGGCAAUGACAGAAGGGAGUUCCUGAAGCCUCUUCUCUUCGGCGUCUAUUGCUUUGGUCACCUGCUCCAUCUCCUUGGCAAGCUCUGCCCUUCGGCGUUUGAGGCGAUCUAUCGUGCCGACGAUCCCCGGGCGAGAGUCUUCCAGAAAGUGAAUCCGUUGAUGCACCUCUUGAGCUUGACGCUUGUACGUGUCUUCUUCUUCACGAGUUUUGGUCAACUUGACGCGAUCGGCCAUGUGGCGCAGGGCCCUAAAGACUGGAAUCCUCAUUGACUCGAUAUAUGCAGCUGGCGCCAAGGCCUCUUCCGCUUCUUCUGGUACUCGCCCGCUGACGUCACCAAAAAGUUGUUGAAUCAGCGAAGCGUCUUCUACCAAUCGGCCGAUGUCCUCUUGAAGAAGGGAUCGGAUGCUUGCGAGUUUGGCACGGACGUCAUCAGGAACGGAGCUCAAAGUGACCUGGCGAGAGGCGACUUCCUCAUCAUCGGAGAGUGCGACCGCAAACGAGAAAAGGCUGUUGUUGGGGGUGUCCUGUUCCUGAAAAAUAGUGAGUCAAGAAGAAGAACAAAUCAGCCGAUGAUGAUAGCAAAUCGGCUGAGUAAGGGUGAGAAAUCUCUUACCUCCUUGAAACGGAUUUCUUCAAACUGCGUUUGGGAGGCUGUUAUCCUCGAUUCAGGGGCUGGUACCAUUGGUUCGUCAGAAGCUGAAGACUCCACCAUGAUUGGUGCUUUGCUCGGGCCAGCUUCCCGAAAGAUGACCAUUGGUUGGUUAGGUGGGGCGCUAAGCGUACCGGUGACCUGUGUCAAAAGAUUGAAUAAGAAUAUUAUCCAAAUACUAGAAAAAUCGGUUGAAGAGUAGUAUACCUCGGCAGACGGAAGCGUGGGCGUGUUGAUGACCGAUUGGGUUGCUGCCGAUUGUUGUGAGUCCACAGAAGUGAUUUGUGUAGUCUAAAAUAAGAUGAGUCAGUAUAGAGAUGGCAAUCGGUAGGAUCAAACAACAAGUUUACCUGCAUGGCCUCCACCAGUAAUGAUGCAGCGGCCGCCCCAGCUUGCGUGACGACUUGAGUAUCUACUUCUCCAGCAGCUGGAAGGGGCAAUGUGGCCGAAGUUUCUGCCGAUGUGAUCGUAGGAGGGUCGGCCGGUUCUGUACGAGCUCGCACUCGGCGACUGGUCUUCUUGGUAACCUUCUUCUGCGCCUGCUUCGAUCGGCCGGCAAUCACAUCCACGGAAGGGGCAUCGUAGCCGAUAAGGGGGAAGAUGGUGUAUAGGUGAUGGUCCUCUAUCGGCCGGCCACUCCGACUGUGUGUUGGGGGAACGCAGUUUUCAGACUGAAGCAACAGCAAGAUGUUAGUGUACAUAUUUAACCGCAUUAAUAAAGGAAUGAAAAUCAGUUAGGGAAAAAAAAUACCUCGGUGUUCGGAUCGAUGUUGGCUGGAUCCAGGAGGUUGCAGUAUGUCGAUGCGGAGGCACAGAAUAGGUACUGUUUUCAUUCGGCCCACCAUAGCUUGAAUGGUUGGACAACAAAGGGGGCUACUAUCCAGUCAUUCAAGUCUAUGGUACUGGAGUCUGGUAUCCGGUCUCGCAGCCGACUAUAGUCAAGACCCUUGGUGAGCUCAUCUCUGAACUUUGCUCGGCCGACGAAGUAUGCCUGAAUCGGCAGUUGACCCAUGCCGAAUUGCCGAGCUGCAACGGAGGGAUUGUAGAAUUCAUAUGUAGGGGCAUCCUUUCCUGAGAAGAAGUUGGCCGGUAAGAUCCCCGGUUUAAUUAGUUCAUCUGUGAGAUCUUCGUCGAAUCAGCCGGUGGUUGAGUCGAAGCAAGAAGGGAGUUCAAAGAUUGGGUCAUCUCUCCAAUAAGGAAACCAGACGGUUGCAUCUUCAUUGAAGCCGUUAUAAAAACACUGGAAGUAUUCGGCCACCUUGGUAGCAGAGUACGAGCAACCAGAGAAGGCCGAUGCCGCUUCGCCGAAAGACAUACACCGGCGUCGGACAGUGAGAUUCUCUGCCGAUUCGACGCUGGGGAAUGUCAUGUGUUCCACUCGCUGCUGAGAGAUCUCGCUCAUGUACAAGUUCAGCCAUAAGUUAAUGAACCACCAGGGUCCACCUGGGUUUCCAAUUGGCUACCCUUGGGAUAGCUUGAUGCCGAUUUGGUGAAGCAUGUGGUAGGCUGCUCCCAGUAAGUGCUUUCCAAGAGGAACAGAAGUCCCUAUUGAUAAUGCUUCGGCCAGAGCUUGGGUAUUGGUAGAUGGACCAGCUGCUCUCCCACAGAAGAAGUGCUUCUCUAGCCACAUCAUCAGGAAGGCCGUGUGCUCUCUGUUGUCGACAGAUCCGGCCCUUUUGUUGCAUCUGAUGAAACCUUUCCACCUGCCGAUUCCCCUUGUGUCCAGCCGAUGUGAUGUUGCGGUUAUAAGGCGGAAAGGGGUGUCCGGGGAAGAAAUAUCCAGGCCGGUCAGGAAGACUACAUCGGCCAAUGUGGGGGUCAUGGGUCCGUGUCCAAACAGGAAUGCGUUGAGAGCAUUGGACCAGAAGUAAGAAGCUGCCACCACUAAUGGCUCAUUCCGUUCCAUUUGGGACAAAGAUAGAUCGAUGCAUUGGCCAAUUUUGAGCUCGUCCCAUUGGACCUUCUUGGAAGCGGUUAUCCGCUGGUACCAUUCCCUCCAACUGGGAGUUUCGUUCGGCCAAGACCUAAAGGUACUCAACCAGUGAUCUAGGUCCAUAGUUGAUUGUUUGAAGGGGAUCCUAUGGGUUUUCCAAAUUGAUUAAGUCGGUUGGAUCUGGAUUUCCCAUGGGUCCAAGACAGAUAAGGCCGAGGUUUUCUGUGAGACGAAUGGUGAUGCGAUGCCUAACCGCCUAAAAAGGAAAAGGGGGUGCGAGGGUAAGAAAUAGAUCUAAAGUACAUGCAUUACUAAUAAGGGAAAGUUUCGGUAAUGACCUCCGGGAUGAAGCUCCUCGUAAUCGGCGGAGUCGCCGGUGCAGCUGCAGACGAUGAAGCUGCCAAUGGGAUCUCGGAUGAAGCUUCAACUUUCGCCAAUGGAGCUCCUUCUUCCGUCGAUGGAGCCGUCGUUAUCGCUACUGGAACCUCCGCCGAAGGCACCAUUUCUGGAGCUUCGCGCAUUGGUGAGGUGCCUGAAGGUGCCGCCAUUGGAAAAGUAGGAGGCAAUGCGAAAGGAAGGAGGCGCUGGAGAAUUGGUGGACUAAGGAAAGUGUUGGAGGAAGAAGAAAGCCUGUGCACUGAAGAAGAUGGACAUGAGCUCGUAAGGAGUACGGGAUGUGCUGAUAUUUAAAGAACGUCUGAGAAGGGGUAAAAGUGGAAUUUUUACCGCGCUGGCGUUUUGAGUUUUUCGGGAGUAGUGGUUGUCGUGGGCACCCGUUUCGAAAAGAUUGCAAUCAUCAGGUUGGAGACCGCGAAAUGGAAGGAUGUUUUCAUUGCGUCUGUUUCGGAUGAGAAGUUGAAAAGAAUUUUGAAGUAAAGACUAUGUUUUACUCCGAAACUGGGAGGCAUGUGUUGACGCCAGAUUUUGACACGAGUAAAAUCGGCGUUAGAAAUGGAAUAAAUUAGGAGAUGCGGCGAGAUACAAGGGCGACGAUUGGAAAUCGGCCGAUUGGUGCUACAGUCAAGGAUCGGUUGGUUGGUGCUGCAGUCAAGGAUCGGCCAAUUGAUGCUACAGAUGAGGAUCGACCGAUUGAUCCUUGGAGUUCCGCCUCGCCCAACCCCUGGUUUGGGAUCGGACGCGCCCGACCCUCCAAGGGAGGAUCUCCGCCUCGCCCGACCCCUGGUUUGGGAUCGGACGCGCCCGACCCUCCAAGGGAGGAUCUCCGCCUCGCCCGACCCCUGAGGUUUGGGAUCGGACGCGCCCGACCCUCCAAAGGAGGAUCUCCGCCUCGUCCGACCUUAGUUCCCAGGGUCGAAAUGAGUCUGAGCCCUCGAUAUGUGGGUCCUGAUCGGUUACCCCCUUGCCAAAGAGGUGAUCGGCCGAUUAGGAGGUUGGAAUAGUUGGGCCGAUGUGGGCUCAAGAAGGAUUAUGAAGAUGAAGAGGGGGUCAGCCCAUGAAGCGCGUGAAAAUAGUACGAAUCGUACUUGUAAAUAUUCGUUUUCUGUUUAAAUUUAGGGAUAGAGUUCUAGUCGGAUAAGAAGUCGUUCGUACGGGGCUAUAAAUAGCCACCGUUGUAGAUCUGUAAUCAUCAUCAACUCAAUACAACAAACUACUAUUUCCUCGUACUUACUUUCAAGCAGGCGACUUUACCAACACUUUUUCUCCUUUUUCACGAGUUCAUACGGGUUGGCGGGGCUGCAUCAACUUGACCUCCGGCCGAUCUUGUAAGUUCCGUUUAUCGACUAAAUUCUAAGCUUUAACUUCGGGCGCAUCGCUGUCGUUUCGUUUAGAUUUAUUCAUCAGUUAUCGAUAUUUACUAGAAUUCUAGGUUUUACCUGUUGUUCUAGUUUUAUCACCAAUUAUCCAGCUAGGAAUCGGUAAAUUCGGCUUUCUUUAUACUUCUCUGUCUAAUCUAUUUAUUUUAGCCGAUUAGAUCUGUUCCUAGUGUUGCUACUGUAGCGUUGUUUAGAUUACUCUAGCAGUUUUCUUUAUAAACGUUACCUGGUAAUCGGUUGCACUAUAGCCGAUUUCCUUAUUACGGCAAAUCGGCCGAUUCGCUGAUAAGCUUUCUUGAGACCGGAACCUUAGCCGAUCGCAACCUCUGGGAACUGACAUGUUUAUUUCCUUGCCAAUCAACAGGUCAGAUUGGCUGGCACGCCGCGCGAACCGCACCAGGGCAAUCACCCGAACAGGAGUUAAGCAGAUUCUCCCGGGUCGUGUGUCCGACGCUGGAAAUUCGGUCAGCUGAUUUCUAGCGCCAACAGGCUCAUUUAUGUCGCCUGACACGCGAAUAUGCACUUUAACCAAGUCAACCUGGUCGACCGUCGGAUUUCAUCCGAUGAACCACUUACACAGGAUCAAGAAGCAUCGCUCAAACGAAGGUGAGUAGCACAGAGGUUACAACAUUCCAUUAUGACAACUUAGUUCCACAAUUUAUUACAUCAGAGUUUCAGAAAUUCAAACAAGUUGCAAGGUUCGAAAAGUCGGAUAAAACAAGCGAAAACUAAACGUCGAUACAGGAUAUCAUGACGAAGUUGAUCAUGACAUCAAAAAUCCCUACCCUCACCGUCCGAGGAGGGAUCCCACUCGAUUGUCCAGCCCGGAGGGAGCUGGGUAGGCCAAGUGGUGCCAGCAACCAAACUAUUGACAUGACCUGAAAAGAUUAAGCCAUAACAAGGCUGAGCAACUAAUACUCAGCAAGACUGACCCGUCGAGUGAAAAGCUUUACCAAGACCUAGACAUGCAAGGCUUUCUGGCUCUGGGAUUACUUUGCCAAAAGCAUCUACAGUCGGUCCUUACUUUCAAUAUUUUAGCUUAAGUUCUACGUUCUUUAACCAGUCUAGAUUAGCAACUUAUACUAAACAAGCAUAAUUUCCAAGUAGUUAAAUAACAAGCAUCAACUUAAUCUCAUAAUCAUGUUUCAUCGUUACUCAGUGCAGAAUAGCGAUCAAGUAGUCCCAAACUGUGAGAGACAGAUGAAUCGAUUCGAAUUUAUUAACCAUGCAUGGCGAACCUAAUCUCACGACAUCCGCGCACCACGAAGGGUCGCUUCAUUUGUCAGCCGUCCCCAUCGAUCCCUUAGGCACGUGUCAGGGCCAAACUGCCUUUGGCGUGCAAUGCUCCACAGUCCCGACCUCUGUCGUACUGUGACCGCCACUGCACCCACAUGAUGCACCAUGGGAACGACGUUCCAAGGACAGCAGGAGUAUAAGCCACGUCCCAGUUCAGUCAGGUACUAGGCUUCCCCAUCCCAGACUAGGUAUGAGAUUAGUACUUUCAAACACUUGAUCACGAACGCUGACACGUUUCAACCUUAGAUCAAUUUCCUUUAGACAGACGGGGAAAACCACCAAGUAUCGAACAUAAGCCCGACCCCGUCCGUCAUCCUUAUAGUUGCAACAUAAAUAAACAUUCAACUCCUAUAACUCGCGAGUGAUAGGAAAUCACUCGACUUUUACUGAAACCUAAUAAGCAUUGCAACUACUCGACUUUAGCAACUAGUAUUCAAACAAGGUACUAAGUUCAUGCAUCUACGGUUUCAAUCAACUCCUACACACGUAAAUGCGCAAACAUAAACAUCAACAUGUUGCAUAAAGUAAAACAGGGAAGUCAUGCACCGGGGCUUGCCGUCAGGAAGAGUUAGCGGGUCCUCGGGGUCUUGAUCCGGCUCAGGCUCGCCUUCCAAGUGGUGAAGCUCCGCAGCGGGGUCUUCCUCCGGUGUCGGGUGGAGCUCGUAGGUUCCAUCGGCGAGAUUUGCUUCUAUACGACAUGCAUAUGCAAAAGUUUAGUUGGACUCACGCGUUUAUUCAACGACACAAGGCUUGGCUUAAGACAAGGAGUUGCAACAGCCACAUUCACUUUGACGAGGUUCAACUUUCAUGCAACUUCAAACGAAUGUGGUCGGUUUAAACUUGAGUUCGAGUUGAAUGGCGAUUGUGUACAUAUAUAGUUUUCUUACACUUAGAGUUGCAUAAAGAGAAUGAAAGGUCGUGUUUGGGUGGUUUGGGUGCAUUAGGAUAGUUACUUACUUCUGAAUGUUUUUAUGUACCUCUUUCAAUUUCCACUUAUUUAUCGUAUUAGAAUUUGUGCUUUCCUUUUAUUCCUUUAGGUUGAUUAAUUAACCAAAAUGACUUCAUAUCCAAACAGCAGCUAAAGGCACUGAUAAAAUUACAACACCUCACUUAAGCCAUAGCUGGGUUACUCUAAAAUUUUGGGGGCCAUUGGAUGACUUAAAAAGGAAUUACAUGCAUUUUAUUAUUAAAGGUAAAAUGAGCUUAACUUUUUCUAUCUUCAAAGUUACUAUGCAACAGAGGGUGAAACUUAACCAGUGUGUUAAGGGUAUGUUACAGGAUCUUUGGCGAAUUUUUCAUAAUUUUUGAAGAAGGUUAACUAUUUACUCUAUUUCCUUUUUAAUUAAACAUGCUUAGCAAGGAAGGUGUUUUUUCUUUCCGAAUUGCACAACAAUUUACAUUUUUCCUGCAAACUUCACAGCAAAACAAAAUUAACCCAACUAGUUUCACAUUUUUUUGAGCUCUGGAUCAAAACGUAUGCAAAAAGGAAGAAUUAAUCUUAGAUUCCCAAAUUAAAGUCAAAACAAUGACUUAAAGUGCUAGACCAGAGCCCUAACCAUUUUUCUGAGCUUCUACACAUAGAAACAAGCAUCACAGAGUUGGUUUUACAUUUUUCCCACUUUUCUUCUAUUUAAUAGGAUUAAAAAGGCCUAAACCAUGAUUAAAAGCAUAUGAUAUUAUUUACAACAGUAACAUGAGCAAACUUAUUUUUCUUAGGAACUAGAUAGAGCAAGGAUUCCAACAAAAGUGGUUUGGUAUUUUUAUGAUUUUUCUACGAUUUACUGGGCAUUUACAAAGUUCAACCAUAUUUCUACCUAUUAUUUAAAAGAAAAGCCGUGGCAAACUUGCAGGUUAGCCCCUGGGUCUAUGGGUUAACUACGCAGAGGUCCCUGAGUUUUGCGCCCAGGCCCCUGGAAAGAAUGGGGAUGAUGCAAUGUAGUCCCCAGGGCGCGCGCGGCGGCGGCGAGGAAAUCCCCGGCGGUUCGUCGGCGGGGAUGGGGCAACAAGUGGUCGGAGGGGUGCGGGGGCUCACCUGAGCUCGGUUUGGUGGGGUUGGGGCGACGGAGAUGGUCGGUAGGGAUCAAAACACGGCGGCGGCGACAGAGCUUGGCUGGUGGCGGUGCAGGCGUCGUUCCGGCGCACUGGCGGCGUCGGGGAGGCCACGGGCUGCUCGGAGACGUGCGCGGAGGGGGGGCGAAGUGGGCGGCGAAGUUGCCGGAGUACGGGGUGGCGCGGAGGGGUGAGCUCCACGGGAGCUUAGCGGCGGCGCUGAGAAGGAAGCAGAGGCGUGGUUGCGAGCGGUGGCAAAGGGUGGCAUUGCCGGUGAGGGGGACCCUUUUAUAGGGCAGCGGUGGAGCGGAGGGUCGAGGUGGGGCUCCGGUGGAGGAAGGAUAAGGCCGGGAGCGGUGCGUGCGCGAGCGAGGCGGCCAUUGGCCAGCGGUGCCAUUGGGCAGGGGAGGCGGAGCUCCGGGUGGUCUCUGGCCGCGAUUGGCCUCGAGCGAUGCGUGUCUGAGGCCUCCGGUCUGUCGGCGGGCGAAGCGGAGGGCCACCGCGGGGGUUGGGCGAGCGGGCGGAGGCGCGGGACGUCGUUGGCGUGGUGGCUUCUCCAGCGGGUGGGCGAAGCGCGGUUGGGCAGAGCAGAGCCGCGGCAGAGGGAAGGGCACGCGCGCGGCCGACGGUUGGCCAGCCCGGCGUUCGCCCCGUCUUGUCGCAGGCGCGGGUUGGGCGCCGUGGCUCUCACCUUAUCGUUGUCUCGCCGGGGAUAGGGCGCCGGUGAGCUGCCGGUGGCCAGCGGCCACGAGGCACGCGGUGCGCGGGCGAACAUGCCCUGGCGCGCGGGCGUUGAGGCCCCUUCGGGCAGUAAGCCCGACCAGCUUUGAGAGAUCCUAUCUCAAGAUUUUGCAACACAACUUCCAAAACUCUUCUAAACAAACUUGUUCAACUCUGGACGUAGUUCAAACUUGGUUUAAGGUGCUGGUUUAGAUUGUGAAAGGAUUUGGAGAUAUCUCAUGCCAAAGUUUGCCAAAAAUAUGGAAAUCCAGACUUAGCCAAUUUUGGCCGGAGAGGUGGAAUUUCAGGAACUUAGCUAUGUUUGAGUCAACUUUAGGGCAGCUUCCAAGUUGAAUUAGACAGAAGUGUUAAUAGAGGAGUUGCUCUCCAAACUGAGGACUUCAACUUCUAUUUAGGGUAUUUCUGGAGUUUAGUUCAGAAAUUUGGAGGAACGCCCUCGCCAAGAGGUGCACUCUGAGCAGUUUUCCAGACUUAGCGUUGUGGUGCUCAGGGGCUGAGUUGACUGCUUUGCUCAACUUUGACCAAGAUUUUGAACAGGUUCUGGUUCGAUUUGGACCUGGGUCAUUGUAACAAACUUGGAAAACACUUGAGGUAUUACAACCUUUAUUAAGAGCCUGACUUGAGUUUAGAUAUGAAAUCGUGAGAUAAAGGCUUGCAAAGUUGGAGGAAAACUUGAAUUCCACGACUUGGAGGUUUAUAGGGUUCUUUAUUAUUCCGGUUUUGAUUCCUGUUUUUGACUUCCUCCCACUCCGAAUUAGCCAAAGUGACUUUAACAAAUAUUGUUUGAAAUUAAAAGUGUUACAACUCUUAUUUGGGCAAAAUUUUAAGUUUGUAUAUAAAAUCUCAAGUUUUAUUUUAAACUCCAUAAAGAGCUUCUUAGGGUUAAAAUGGUCAUUUCACUUCCUUUACUUAGUGAUUAACCACUGGUUUAUAUUUAAAGCACUUAAUUUAGGUAGAGUUGUUACAAGUAUCCACUCACUACUUUACCAAAUGGGUGCAGGCAGUCCCUCUGAAGACCGUGACGUUGGCCGUCAUGAUUGAAUUCAUAAGCGAGCACAUUAUCUAUUGGUUUGGUAUUCCUCAGACUGUUACGACCGAUCAGAGAACAAUGUUUACUUCAGGAGAGUUUGAGGAGUUCACUUCCGAUAUGGAAAUUAAGUUGUUAAAUUCUUCUCCAUAUUACGUUCAAGCUAAUGGUCAGACCGAAUCGUCCAAUAAAGGGAUAAUCAAGUGUAUCAAGAGGAAGGUAGAGGAGCAACCAAAGAGAUGGCACAUGACUUUAAGCGAGUCUUUGUGGGCCUACAGGAUGGCCUGCCACGGCGCUACUAAGGUGUCUCCUUAUCAAUUAGUGUAUGGAUAUGAGGCGGUGCUCCCUUAGGAAUUGAGGAUGGGGUCUAGACGCACGUCGAUUCAAGAUUAGUUGACAGCCGACGAUUAUUCUCUCCUUAUGAAAGGGGAGCUUGAGGAUUUGGUGGGUCAACGAUUGAGGGCCUUGAUCAGUAUUGAAGAGAAUAAGAAAAGACUUGCCAAGUGGUAUGACAAGAAGGUCAAGGUCAAGCAGUUCUCGCAAGGGGAUUUGGUAUGGAAAUUGGUAUUGCCGAUAGGGUCUAACCAUCCCAAAUACGGCUAGUGGUCGCCUACUUGGGAAGGGUCGUAUAAAUCGAUCGAUAUGUGCCAGGAAAUGCAUACGUAUUAGAGACCAUCGAGGGAGAGGAAUUUACAAGAGCCUUAAAUGGGAGAUAUUUGAAAAGAUACUAUCCCAGCAUAUGAGUGGACGCGUAGCCGAUGAUAUAGUGUAUCGAGUCGUUAUGGCCGAUUCCUAUUGACUCGUGUUUAUAUAGCCGAUGCAGGGAGGCAUCGCCUUGAGGACGAAACCUCUAAUCAAAUUGGCCGAUUAUUAUUCGGUACGGUGAUUGGAUACAUGGCCAACAUGGUACAAGUCGCCCUUAGACCAAAAGUACCAAUACAUCUAUCGGGUUACAAUAUGAUUAACUGCAUUUCAACUGGGCUUUGUUUUUAUUGAUCUCUCUUUGGACCCGGCCUAGUUCUAUUAAGAGACGGGUGCUCUUUUCCUCCCUAUCCGCCAUGGCAUCUUUGAGAGCGACCUGGCAGGGUAGCUGAUGACUCCUCUCAAUUGGCGGCUGAGGUGGCUCCCUGGAGCUGUUGGCUUCGAUGUGAUCCACGAUCUUCUUAAUGUGGGUCGGAAGAUGGUCUUUAAGCUCCUCACGGUGGGCUUUGAUCAGGUCUUGGUCCACCUGCAUCAGUGGUUCCUCAGAGUGCAUAAUUUCGAUAACUCGCUCAAGAUCAGGGCUGAGCCGGGUCGGCUGGACAAACAGCGGGCAAUCAGUUGUCGAAAAGAAUUGGUCAAGGAGCGCAAGGCUGAUCUCAUACCUCAUUGACGGGGGAAGAAGAAGACAUCUUGGCGCCCGGUUAGGGAUCUGAAAAUGGUCGAGCAGAGUGUAGAAGGAUGGAUGAGAUACGAGUGCCUCUGGGAGGAAUGUAGGGACCCCAUAUUUAUAGGAGAAAAGGUAAGGGGCAACGGUUGGCAAAGGCAUCUAUUCAAAGCAGAUGAAUGUUGAGCUAAAAGCUGCGAAGAGGAAACGUUCAAGUCCGUAUUCACACAAUGAUGGCAAAAGGGGCAUUAAAUGUUUGUGCAGAGGUGUUCAAAAGAUAAUUCAAUGUUUUGAUACAUUCAUUCAAGAAGAAUAUUAAUGGCCGCGAUUGCCUACUGGCGGAUCUGAUCCGCUGAAUCUAGAACUCGUUGGACAUCUUCGGCUGAUCCAAGAAUUUCUAGCAUGUUGCGAUGAAGCCGGAUGGCCUCAUGCGCAAGGGUUUGCCUCUCCUGCUUCAGAUCAGCGAUGACGGUCGUGAGAUCAUGAAGAUUAUUCUUUUUGGCGGUUAUAGCCUUUGUCACCUACUCCAUCUCCUUGGCAAUCUCUGCCCUAUGCUAUUUGAGACGGUCUAUUGUGCCGACGAUGUCUGGGCGAGAAUUUUCGAGUACGCCGAUUCGGUGAUGUACCUCUUGAGCUCGGUGUUUGUAGGAAUCCUUCUCUUCACAUGGCUUUGCCAGCUUGGCAUGAACGGCCAUGUGCCGCAGGGCUCUGAACACCGGGAUUUGCAUUGACUCGAUGUAUGUAGGAGGUGCAAGAGCUUUUUCUACAUCCUUCAGGACUCGGCCUUUUAUUUCGCUGAAGAUUUGCCAAAUCGGCGAAGCGUCUUCCACCAAUCGGCCGAUGUCAUCUUGAAGAAGUGCUCGGAUUCUCUGGAGCUUUGCACGUACUUCUUCCGAAAUUGAACCUGGAGCCACUUGUCGAGAGGCUACCUCUUCAUCAUCAGAAACAGCGAUCGCAAAUGAAAAGAGGCUGUUAUUGGGCGUAUCUUGUUCCUAUAAAAGUAAGAGAGGAAGGAACGGAUUAGCCGACAGUAGUGGGAAAUCGGUCGGAUUGGAUGUCGAAGGCCCUUACCUGUUUAAAAUGAAUUUUCUUCUGUUUGUGUUUGGGGGAUUGCUACCCUUGUCUCAGGAAUCAGCAUGGUUGGCUCGUCAGAAGAAGAAGACUCGACGGUGAUCGACGUUGUGUUUGGACCGGCUUCCUGAAAGUAACAAAAGGAGAGUCUCUAUAAGUAUGAAGCAAUAGUUAGAUCUAAGGAUGAGUACCAGUUACUUUACCUCUGUGAGUCGUCCGGCCGAUGACUGUUGGAAAGGUAUGAUUGAUGUACCCAGAGUGGCCUACAUUAGAAAUCGGUCAUUUUUGACUAAGGAAUAAGAGACUUGAGUAAGAUGUAUGUUCUUUACCUCAGCUGCAAGGAUUGCUGGUGGUUCGGUCUCUGCUUGGGAUGCGACCGAUUGCUGUGAGGUUUGCUCCGAAAGAAUUUGCGCAGCCUAACAAAAAGUGGAAAUUAAUACUGAUAGUAUACUUGGAGAAAUGUGAAGCAUAUAAAGUUACCUGAACAUCUUUUACCAAUAAGGAUGCAGCUGCUGAUCCGGCUUCCGUAGCGGCUUGGGGGUCGACCUCCUGGGCGAUCGGCAGAGUUGGUGUGGCUGAAGACUCGGCUGGUGGCACCGCCGAUUGAUCGGCCGGUUCUAUACGGGCGCGCACCCGGCGGCUUGUCUUCUUUGAAGAGGAUAUCUUCAUCUUCUGCUUCAAUCGGCCUGUGAUGAUAUCUUCGAUUGACGGGGACUGAAAGCCGAUGAUUGGAAAUGAAGUAUAUGGGUGGCGAUUCUCUAUCGGCCUGCCACUACAGUUGUGCGUUGGAGAGAGUUGGCUUUCAGACGACAAGAAAUGAGGGAAAUCAGUGGUAAUACUGUAAGAGUACGGUGUCAAAUCGGCCAGAAGGAUUGGUACCUCUGCAUUCGGAUCAAUGUUAGCGGGGUCCAGAUCAUUACAAUAUGUUGUAGGAGAUGUGCAGAAGAGGUGUUGUUUCCACUCACCCCACCAUAGCUUGAAUUGUUGGACAGCGAAGGGGGCCACAACCCAGUUGGCCAAUUCGAUGGUACUGGAAUCCGGCGUCAAGCUGCACAGCUGAUUGUAUUCAAGACCUUUAGAGAGCUCCUCCCGACACUUAACGCGGCCGGCAAAAUAAAUCUUAAUCGGCAUUUGUCUGAGGCCGAAUUGCCGCGCUGCCACUGAUGGGUUGUAGAAUUCAUAGGUUGGGGAGUCUUUUCCUGAGAAGAAGUUUGCUGGUAGGAUCCCAGGCUUGAUCAAAGUAUCCAUAAGCUCAUUAUCGAAGUAAUUGAUGGUUGAAUUGAAGCAGUCGGGGUUUUCAAAGAGUGGCUCAAUUCUCUGAUAUGGGUACCAGCUUGUAGUUUCUUCAUUGAAGCCGAUAUAGAAGCAUCUGAAAUACUCAGUUGUAUUUGUGGGGGUAAACUUGCUGCCAGGAGAAGCUGACGCUACCUCGCCAAGGAAGUGCAACGCCGUCUUAAUGUUGGGUUAUCCUCUGAUUCAAUAUUGGGGAAUGUCUUGGUCUCAACUCGUUCCCUGGAGAUCUUGCUCAUGUAUAAGUUGAGCCAGAUGGUGAUAAACCACCAGGGGCCACCAGAGUUCCCAAUCGGCUCUCCGGAUGACAGCUUGACUGCGAUUUGGUGCAUCAUAUGAUGAGCCAAUCCUAGCAGGUGUUUUCCUAAGGGGAUAGUAGAACCUUUUGCUAGGGCCUCGACCAGAGCCUGUGUAUUGGAGGAGGGGCCAACUGCUUUGCCACAGAAGAAGUGCUUCUCUAACCACAUCAUCAGGAAAGCUGUGUAUUCUCUAUCGCCGAUAGGACCGGUCUUCAUAUUUUUAUCAAUAUAGCAUUUCCACCUGCCGAUUCCCUUUGUUUCCAGGCGAUGGGUUGGUUUGAUCAGGAAAUUGAAGGGCAAGUCGGGGGAAGAGAUGUCAAGACCGGUCAGCAUCAGGACGUCGGCCAAAGUAGGGGUCAUGGGCCCAUGUCCAAAAAGGAAAACAUUGAGAGCGUCAGACCAGAAAUAAGAAGCUGCCAUGACCAAAGGUUCAUUCUUCUCCAUUUGAGACAGAUAUAAGUUUAUGCAUUGGCCGAUUUUUAGUUCAUCCCAAAGAACCCUCUAAGAAUUGGACAUCCUUUGAAACCACUCUUUCCAGCCAAGGGUUUCGUUCGGCCAAGAUCUAAAUGCACCUGUCCACUGGCUUAAAUCCAUUGGUGACUGCUUGAAAGGGAUCAUGUGGGUUUCCAGGUUGAUCAAUUCAGUGGGAUCUAGAUUCCCCAUGGGGCUAAGACCGACGAGGCCGGGUGCGUCAGAAACAGGGAUGGUGAUUUGCUGCCUAAGUUCCUAAAAAGGAUACAAAAGGAGAACUAAGAACAGAUCUAAAAGAUGCGUGAAUGGUGAAAAGUAAAAGUAAAAACUUUGGGAUAUUUACCUCUGGAAUGAAAGCCAUAGUCGCCUAUGGAGCCGCUAUUGGAGUAAACAGAAUAGGAUGGACGGAAGAUGAAGGAGGAAUCACCGUAGGAAUGCAGUUGGAAGAUGAAAGGGUGCCGAAAUGCGAUGGAAGAUGAUUCGCCGGGGAAAAAAGAGUUUCCCAGCUUGUGGAGAAGAAGCGGCGGAGAAUGCAAAUAUUUAAAGAUGGUUCGAGAGAAGGGUAAAGGUGGGAUUUUACCGCGCUGUCUGCACAAAUUUCGGGAAGAGCGGUUGCCUGCGAGCGCCUAGCUCGAAAAUUGUGAUCAUCAGAGAGAAGACCGCAGAACAGAAAGGAGCUUUCGCCGUGCCCGCCUCGGAGGAUGAGUUAGAGUUGAAAAAAAUUUGAAGCAAAAAGUUUCACUCUGAAACUUGGGGGCAUGUGUUGACGCCGGAUUUUGACACGUACUUGAAAUCGGCGUCAAAGAAGGAGAAAGGGGGGCCGAUGCGGCGGACUAGAAGCUACAGUUGGGAAUCGGCCGAUUGAAGCUACAGUGUUUCAGCCGAUUGGUGGAAGAAAUCGGUGGAGGCUGGCCGAUUGAGAGCCAAAGCAGUUUGGCCGGUUUGGGCCUAAGGUGGACCAGGAUGAAGAUUUGCUGAAGAGACAGGCCCGUGGGAAAAUAAUAACCAACUCGAAUAUGAGUCGUGUUUGUAACUAUUUGUUGUCGUUUGAAAUUAGAGAUAGAUUCUAGUCGGUUAUGAAAUCAGUUGCAACAGGCAAUAAUAGCUGCCUCGAGAGGCUUGUAAAAAAAUAACACACAAUCAAUAAAACAAAUUUACUCUUUCCUCGUACUUUACUUUCAAGUCGGCGACUUCGCCAAAACCUUUUUCUUUCACGAGUUCGUACGGAUUGGCAGGGCUGCAUCUACAUGAUCUCCGACCGAUUCUGUAAGUUCCGCUUAUCGAGUAAUAUCUAAGCUUUAACUUCGGGCGCAUCGCUGUUGUUUCAUUUAGAUUUAUUCACUAGUUAUCGAUAUCAACUACAGUCAUAGGUUUUACCUGUUAUUUUAGUUUUUAUCACCAAUUAUCCAGCUUGAGGUACGAGCUAUCGGCUUCUAUUAUUUUUAUCCUUUAUCAUCACAUAGCUGAUUAGAUCUACUCCAAGUGUUGCUUUUGUAGUGUUGUUUAGGUUGCUCUAGAAGUUUUCCUUACGAUUGCUACGUGAGUAUCGGCUGUCUUAUAGCCGGUCAUCUCUAUAGUAAAUCGGCCGAUUCGCUAAUACGCUCUUCAAGACAGAUCGGAACUCUAGCCGAUCGAAACCCCUAAAAUUUAAUAUUCUUCUUUCCUUUGUCAAUCAACAGGUCAGAUUGACUGGCACGCCGCGCGAACCGCACCAGGGCAAUAACCUGAACAGGAGCUAAGCAGAUUCUCCCGGGUCGUGUGUCCGACGCUGAGGGUCAUCGGCCAAUUUUCAGGGCCAACAACAGCUUUUGGGCAAAAGCAUAUAGGACUUUUAGGGGGUGUUUGGCAUGGCUCUAGAGCUGAACUCCGGUAACUCCAGCCAAUUUUCCAGCCAAACACCCUAGCUCCAAAACUCCAUGGAGCUGCAGUGCAAAUGGGAUGGAGUUUUGGCGCACCUCUUUUGUAGCUCCAAAACCACCUAAUAUGAACCUCCUCGUGGAGUUGGUGGGUAAUUAACCAUCAAUGCCACUGAUUAAAAUAAAAAUGAUUCACUUCUAUUUUCUCUCGAGACCCCUCCCCGCGCCGCCCGAGGCCUCCUGAUGCCGCUCUCCUGCGCCGCCGCCUAGCGCCGCCGACAGCUGCUGUCGCCGUCCGUGCCCCGCGUCCUGCGGGCUACCGCCUCGCCAUCCCCAUGAGCCCCCUGCACCGCCGUCAGAGCCGCCAGCCGAGCCGCUGCGGCCGGGUUUCCGCCGUCUUGCCGCCUCUUUCCUCAACUGGAGUGAGCCAUCAGCAGCAGCAGAUUCCCCUCGGCGAGCCACGCCCGUUUCGCCGGUUCCGUUGUCACCCUGCUGCCGGAGUGCCGCCGCCACCGUGAAAACCGCCCGCCCCCCGAUCUCCACCACCACGCUGACCACCUCCGUCCAUGCCCUCCGCCGGUGAGCACACCCGUAGAUUCCCCUCGACCCCCUCUUCCUCUUGCGCCACCUGCCCAAAACACCACCUCGCCGGAGCGCCAGCAAGCUAGCUGGCCAGAGCCCCGGUGAGAGGAGGAAGAAGGAACCUGGCUCUUUUGUGAUUGGGUCCUUGAGGAAAGCUAAAAUCUUUUGCUCUGUUCCUUGCUCCCGGCGAGAGGAGGAAGAAUAGUGGGCUUCUGUGGUGGAGGGCGAGAUCGAACCAGGAGUCAGAAUGUCAAUCUACCCUCAAACUCCUCUUUUCUGGAGUUGGGAACACCCUCCCAACCAAACACCUUCAUCAGACAGCAGGUUGAAAAGAGGCACAUGAGGCUCAGCCGCUUAGGCCCACGGGCAAAAAAAAAAAACUCUUACUUUAUGGCGGAGUAGUUGCUGUUCCAGUGUGCAGGUAAAUUGUCGCAAAUGCCCUCUUGUGGUCGCGUUGCAGUAGCCGAUAAGGCGUCCAAACGUGAGGUGCACACACCUGAUCUGAUCCUCUCAGUGGAAACGGGCCAGGUCCAUGCAACCCAGGACAGGAAGGCUCUAUACCUGGGCCGAACGGUAGCCCAAGAGGCCGACAGUAAGUGAGCUCACGGGUGACGAACGGCCCAGAAGCCGCCCCAAUCCGGCCACCGCCACUGAGCCGGCUCGACUAAACCGGAUCGCCACGCAGCCCGACCGCGCAGGCGUACUUCCCGAACUACCCCCGGAGAUUAUCCAAUCGGACGGCCAAGCGCCACGCACUGCCAAAGAAUUCCCCGAAAUGACCCUACUCUUCCCUUUGCCUCCCUCGCGUGCCGCCGGUUCUGCUCGACCGGACCAGCGGUUCAGGCGCCGAAUAUUCGCCCGCGGAUAUUUCUUGCCCGGUGCGUCAACUCCGCCGCUAUAAAUACCCUCAUAGGGCGGCCGCUAGGGUUUUAGUGCUUCUCUCCCGGCGGCGCCUCCACAUAUCGUCUCUCAGAUCGGGAGGCGAAACCAAGGUGACUGACCUCAUCCCCUUUCUCCUCCCUCCGUCUCUGGUUGCUAUAGCUAUUUCAUCCAUGCGCUGUCCUUAUAGCUGAUUAGUAUUUUUACUAGUGGAGUUCGAGUCGUUUUGGUUCCAUUCAGUAGUGCUUGUGUUGAUUGGAUUGAAUCGGAGGACUCGAAGUGGUUUGUGCUGCUCGAAUCGUAAGUUUGUUGGGCUAAUCUCGAUGGAAUUUAUGUCAAUUCGUUGGUUUAGUGGUCCUUGGCAGUUCUCUCUGUGAUAGGCCCGUCCGAUCUGUAGAGAUGCGGUGGAAUCCUGGUUUACUCAAAACGGUUCUAGAUUCCUCUGUUCUUCCCUUAUUUUUUGUUUCGAUUACUUAGUUUGCACGUUAGGGGCCUAUGAAGUUUAUGUGCUCGGAUCCUUUAGUGAAACUGAUCUGUUUACUCAGAUGUGCUCGGAUCCUUCAGUGAAACUGAUCUGUUUACUCAGAUCUGCUGGUAGCUAACAGGUUCAGGGUAGUUAUGUUGAUGGUCUAGUUUUGGUAGUUUCAUUGUCGAUUUCUGUCCAUUUUUGUCAUGUUCUGUCCAUAAAAAUACUAUCUGUGCUUCUUCAUAUCUUGUAAUAUGAAUUCAUUUGACAAACUAUGCAUUUCUUUUAGAGUGUUUGUCUAAAUUAAUCUUCUGGUAUAUCCCUAUGCCAGUCUGUUAAUAUGUCUGUAUUAUAGUGUUUUGUUUGAGGUGGUAAUGUACAUGGUGCACCCUGCAGUUUUUCAUGUCUAAUAUUGAAUCUCCUUGUUUGCUGUAUGUAUUAAGGAUUAGUUUCACUUCAAAUAGCUUACUGCUGAUGCUUUCUUGUUUGUUUAAUAUGCUGUGUAAUCAUGUUGACCCUGAGGUUUGUAAGAAUUCCUCUUAUUUGAUUAUUGCAUGGAUUAGUGUCCUGAAGGAUAUGGCUCCUUUGUACAAUUAAGAUAAUUCACUUUUUUUUCUCAACUUUUAUAUGCUUACUAGCCCAUUAGGUUGUGUAAACAUUAGAGUGCUUUAGCCUGGUAAAGAUGAGUUAAGCAUUUUAAAUAAAUUUUUGGAUUUGGUUGAUAUCAUCCUUAACACCUGCAUUUAAACAAUUUGUCUCUUUUGAUCCUGACUAUUACAGUGGGUGUUACUUUCUUUAGUCAUUCUGUGGUAUCAAAGUUUCUGGUGUAGUUGUGUAAUUAUGGUUUUGGUUGGAUUCUUACUAGUAUUUUCUACCUUUAAACAGCAGGAAAUUAUAUACAUAUUUGUAGUGUGAUCUUCAUAAGAAGUCAAGAUGGUGAAGUUCACAGCGGAAGAGCUCCGUGCCAUCAUGGACAAAAAGAACAACAUUCGUAAUAUGUCCGUUAUUGCUCAUGUGGACCACGGUAUGUUAAGAACAGUGUUUAAUUAAAUGUUAUGCAUACCUGUUCCUCGACAUUUUUCAGGCUUUUCAAUUUUAGCAAUUGUUUUUUUUCAGUAUUAAAUCUCUGAAUUGUUCUUGCCAGUGAAUGCGAUUCAUGCUGCGUUAGCUAUCACAGACCUAUUUUACAUAUGUAGAAAUAUUCAUUUCAUGUUGGAAAUAGGCUUAUUGUUCUUUUGUAAUUAAUGUAUUGGUUUAUCUCUAGAUAUUGCAGUGUAUAGUAUCUGUUUACUAUGUGUUUUAUAUUGGGAUGUAUUGUUGUCUUUGUUAACUUGUGAGAGGUUGUCUAUCCCUAAUGUUGUACUAUUCUUGAUGCAUCUUCGGACUGACUUUUAAGUUCCACACUAUAGUCUUACAUCUCAUUAAUUCUUUGCAGGCAAGUCUACCCUUACAGAUUCCCUUGUGGCAGCUGCUGGGAUUAUUGCCCAGGAAGUUGCUGGUGAUGUCCGCAUGACUGAUACACGUGCAGAUGAAGCAGAGCGUGGUAUUACAAUCAAAUCCACCGGUAUUUCUCUGUACUAUGAGAUGACUGAUGAGUCACUGAAGAGUUACAAGGGUGAGAGAGAUGGUAACCAGUACUUGAUCAACCUUAUCGACUCACCUGGGCACGUUGAUUUUUCUUCGGAAGUCACAGCUGCCCUUCGUAUCACCGAUGGUGCUCUAGUGGUGGUUGACUGUAUUGAAGGUGUCUGUGUGCAAACUGAAACUGUGCUCCGCCAGGCUCUUGGUGAGAGGAUUAGGCCAGUGCUUACUGUGAACAAGAUGGACAGGUGUUUCCUUGAGCUUCAGGUUGAGGGUGAGGAAGCCUACCAGACUUUCUCCCGUGUCAUUGAGAAUGCCAAUGUCAUUAUGGCAACAUAUGAAGAUAAGCUCCUUGGUGAUGUCCAAGUCUACCCGGAGAAGGGAACUGUUGCUUUCUCUGCUGGUCUGCACGGCUGGGCCUUUACCCUCACCAACUUUGCCAAGAUGUAUGCUUCGAAGUUUGGAGUUGAUGAAACUAAGAUGAUGGAGAGGCUCUGGGGUGAGAACUUCUUUGACCCAGCCACAAAGAAGUGGACCACCAAGAACACAGGCUCUGCUACCUGCAAGAGAGGAUUUGUUCAGUUCUGCUAUGAGCCAAUCAAGCAAAUCAUCAACACCUGCAUGAAUGACCAGAAGGAUAAGUUGUGGCCCAUGCUUCAAAAGCUUAAUGUUACCAUGAAGUCUGAUGAGAAGGAAUUGGUUGGCAAGGCUUUGAUGAAGCGUGUUAUGCAAACUUGGCUUCCAGCUAGUACUGCACUGCUUGAGAUGAUGAUAUUCCACCUUCCUUCCCCAUCAAAGGCACAAAAGUAUCGUGUGGAGAACUUGUACGAGGGACCCCUUGAUGAUAUCUAUGCUACUGCUAUCAGGAACUGUGAUCCGGAGGGUCCUCUUAUGCUGUAUGUUUCUAAGAUGAUUCCAGCAUCUGACAAGGGCAGGUUCUUCGCCUUUGGUCGUGUCUUCUCUGGGAAGGUUGCUACUGGUAUGAAGGUUAGGAUCAUGGGUCCCAACUAUGUCCCUGGCCAGAAGAAGGAUCUGUACGUCAAGAGUGUCCAGCGUACUGUUAUCUGGAUGGGAAAGAAACAAGAGUCUGUUGAGGAUGUUCCUUGUGGUAACACUGUUGCUAUGGUUGGUCUGGAUCAGUUCAUCACGAAGAAUGCUACACUCACCAAUGAGAAGGAGGUUGAUGCAUGCCCAAUCAGAGCAAUGAAGUUCUCUGUCUCCCCUGUUGUGCGCGUUGCUGUUCAGUGCAAGGUUGCCUCUGACCUACCCAAGCUCGUUGAAGGUUUGAAGCGUCUGGCAAAGUCUGAUCCUAUGGUCCUCUGUACAAUUGAAGAAUCUGGUGAGCAUAUUAUUGCUGGAGCUGGUGAGCUUCACCUUGAGAUUUGCCUGAAGGAUCUGCAGGAAGACUUCAUGGGUGGUGCUGAAAUUAUUGUUUCUCCUCCUGUUGUCUCUUUCCGUGAAACUGUUCUUGAGAAAUCCUGCCGAACAGUCAUGAGCAAGUCCCCCAACAAGCACAACCGUCUUUACAUGGAAGCCCGUCCCUUGGAAGAGGGUCUCCCUGAGGCUAUUGAUGAGGGCCGCAUUGGUCCACGUGAUGAUCCCAAGGUUCGCUCCAAGAUCCUCUCUGAGGAGUUUGGUUGGGACAAGGAUCUUGCCAAGAAGAUUUGGUGCUUUGGACCUGAGACCACUGGCCCGAACAUGGUUGUUGAUAUGUGUAAGGGAGUGCAGUACCUCAAUGAAAUCAAGGAUUCUGUUGUGGCUGGCUUCCAGUGGGCCUCAAAGGAGGGUGCACUGGCUGAGGAGAACAUGCGUGGCAUCUGCUUUGAGGUCUGUGAUGUUGUUCUUCAUGCUGAUGCAAUUCACAGGGGUGGUGGCCAGGUCAUUCCAACUGCCAGGAGGGUUAUUUAUGCUUCUCAGCUCACUGCCAAGCCAAGGCUGCUCGAGCCAGUUUACCUUGUGGAGAUCCAGGCCCCAGAAAAUGCACUUGGUGGUAUCUAUGGUGUUCUGAACCAGAAGAGAGGGCACGUGUUUGAGGAGAUGCAGAGGCCUGGUACCCCGCUCUACAACAUCAAGGCUUACCUCCCUGUCAUCGAGUCCUUUGGGUUCUCCAGCCAACUGAGGGCUGCAACCUCUGGCCAGGCGUUCCCUCAGUGUGUGUUUGACCACUGGGACAUGAUGGGCUCUGAUCCUCUGGAGGCUGGCUCCCAGGCUGCUCAGCUGGUGUUGGAUAUCCGCAAGAGGAAGGGUCUCAAGGAGCAGAUGACCCCUCUUUCUGAGUUCGAGGACAAGCUCUAAAUUUUGGUGGUUUGUGCUGCUGGU
RNAcentral lists this long non-coding RNA (69166 nucleotides) under Setaria viridis. Its description in RNAcentral is "long non-coding RNA (SVIR_LNC006068)". Lineage: Eukaryota; Viridiplantae; Streptophyta; Magnoliopsida; Poales; Poaceae. The record is from RNAcentral.